UUAUUAAAAUGUAUACAAAAUUUGAUUAUAUAUUUUUGGGAAAACUUUAAAAAACCCCAUGUGGUUUCGCACUUUUUCAUUUUAAUAUCUUGUUAUUUAAAGUGUAUCAAGUUAGUACCCUGUGGUUUCUCACUUUAUCACUUUAGUACCCUGCGGUUUAAAGUGUAUCAAGUUAAUAUUCUAUAGUUUUAUUUUUGUAUUAAGUUAGUAUCCUGUAGUUUUAUUUUUAUAUCAAGUUAGUACCCUAUGAUUUUUAAACCACAUGGUACUAAAGUGAUAAAGUGUGAAACCACAGGGUACUAAAGUGAUAAAGUGUGAAACCACAGUGUACUAAAGUGAUAAAGUAUGAAACCACAGGGUACUAAAGUGAUAAACUGCGAAACCACAUGGUACUAACUUGAUACACUUUAAACCACAUGGUAUUAAAGUGAAAAAGUACAAAACCAUAGGAUACUAACUUGAUACACUUUAAACCACAAGGUACUAAAGUGAGAAAAAGUGAAACCACAAGGGUCUUAUUUGAAGUUUUCCCUAUAUUUUUUACAUAUGUAUUUUUACAGUAUAUAGAUUAUAUUUAUUAAAUUAUAUUUUAGUUUAAAUGGUGAAACCUUAUAGAACCUCGAAUGGCAAAUCUUAUAGAAGCUUUUUCUUUUCCUAUGUAUGAAGAGUUGAAGACUAAAGAGCUCCUCUUAACAACUUUUUUUUCUUAUGAAUUUUUUAAUAAUUUUUUGCUUAUAUAUUCUUUUAAAAAAUUAUUUAGUUACUUACAAGUUCUUACAAAAAAUUUUGUGACACAUAAACCAAAUAUUCAAAAGGCGUAUUUGACCAAAAGUCUUGACAUUGCAUUUCAGAAAAUAAAAAAAAAUAGAAAUUUGAAACUAAAUUCUCCGGAUCUAAGCAUAAAAAGAAAAAAUAUUUUAGUUAAAAAAAAUCACAAAUGUUUAAAUUUUAAUUUAAAUAUAUCCUCCUCAAAAGCCCUUCCGGCUUUUUUUAUAAAAUAACCUUUUUAAAUUUUAUUAUUUACGAAAUAAUCUUGUCUAAAUUAUAUUUAAAAAAUUAAUCUCUUAAAGACGGCGAAUGAUUUAUCGCUUUCAUAAUGAGUCUAAUUUCUUAGAAAAAUGGUAAAUCAUUCACUGUCUUUCGCUUGUUUAUUGUUUCUUUCUAUAAUCCUAACAACCAUAUAAAUAUUUCAACAAAUCACAUAUAAUCUUAACAAUCUGAAAAUUCUAAUAAUUUAUCCAUACAAUCCUAACAAGCAAAAAGAUCCUAAUAAUCUAUCCAUAUAUUCGUAAUAAUCAAACAUUACAUAAUCUUAACAAAUUGAAAAUUCUAAUAAUAUAUUCAUAUAAAUCUUAACAAAUUGAAAAUUCUAAUAAUAUAUCCAUAUAAUCCUAACAAUAAAAAAAAAUAAUAAUCUAUCCAUACAAUUCUAACAAUCAAAUAAAAAUUUUAAUAUUCUACACACAAUUCUAACAACCUCAUUUUUUUUAUUUCCCGUAUAAUCUACGUACAAUUUUAACAACCUCAUUUUUUUUCUCAAAAAAUUAUUAAAAAGACGGUGAAUAAUUCACCGCCUUUAAAAGGCCUUAGAAACUUUCAGAAUGCAGUGAAUGAUUCACCGCGUUUUGAGAGUUAAUUUGUUAAAUACAAAUUUGAUAAGAUUAUUUUGCAAAUUAUAAAAUUUUAGAUGGUUAUUUUGUAAAAUAGUCCCAUCCUCUCCUACUGUCAGACAAGCAACCAAAAAAAUAUGCAUACCUAUAAAAUCUGCAUCCCCCAAAACAGAGUAAGAAAAAUAAACAAAACCAAAUAGAACAAAAAUUUGUGAAAUGAGUAAUUUCAUCAGAAAUAGUAAGGCUGAGCUUGACCUUUCUGACAGUAAAUCAACAAAUAGAAGGAACGAAAAUGAGCAAAGGCAAUAUAUUUUGGAUUGGGGGAGGCAUUGAAAUUGAAUUGUAUAUGAAAUGAGGUGAGUGAAUCCAAAUUGCAUGGUAUGUGAUUAACAUAUGUAAAAGUCAAAUAAAUUUGUAAAACAUGUAAUUACACUAUCUUUCAUUUACAUGGAAUUCACACUCUCGGUAGAAUCAAAAUACCUUCUCUGUCAAACAGACAACUCACAAUCCUAGGGGAUUAAACUCGAGACGAGCUUUUUUGAUCUAACAUUAAAUAAAAACACCCGUGUGCGACAAUCCUUAAAUUGCAUUGAAGUAUUGAAGAUAGCAAGCUAGGUCUAUUCUAGUACUUCAACAGCCCUAAAGUGAAAGAAAAUAAAAAAUAGUCACGAAAAGAAUUCUGAAAAAAAAGUGUUACGAUAAACGCACAAACGAAAACGAAAAUAACGAACACAAAAUAGUCAAACCACAAGCAAAAAUAAAAAAGAACACACAGAUUUACAUGAAAAAUCCUUUAUAGAAAAAAACCACGGAUGAGUGAGGAGAGAACUUCACUAUCGAACAAAAAAGGGGAAUACAAUGUUCGGAGAGUACAACCAACUUCAAUCGGUCGCCUCUAGGGCAAAAACGAAAAGAAAACUCUUAACGGGGCAUGUUGGCCCGAGCCCUCUGCUAUCCACCACAAACAUUUAUUUUUUCCUUCACAAUUUUACUUUCCAAUUUGGUCACACCGCGAAACUGUCGACGAGUCAAAAUUUGAACCGAAGUCGAUUAUCAAUUUCGAAUAACAUCUAACAGAAAGAGAGAUUAAGAUCUGCAAAAAGCAUCAGCUCUUCUUCUGUCUUUUUGCUGCUUUGUUAUUGCAAACUUACUAGACAAAAUGAUGCUGGAUUUCCCGUCAAGUUCAGCAUAGUCAUGCAUAUUGUUCACAAACUCAGAAAUGAAAUUGCCGACAAACUGGAUUUCCUCGUCGUCAUUGUUUUUUGAAAGGAAUGUAUAGGGUAUUUCCUAUACAUUUCAUUGAAUGUAAUAAGAAUUACAUGUAAAACAAGUAUAAAUUAUAAUUGUUGGGGCUGAGUAGGCCCGCAGCAAUAAUUGAUCCCCCAAAUUGAACCCCCAGUUACAAAAAUUUGAACCACAUUAGUGCAUCAUUGUGAGAUACUCGAGCUAGCUCUUCAGAUGAUCUAUACAACCCGUUGAAGACGUGAAGCUGACAUUCUAAGUGAUAUUCCAGGAUUAGAUCUGAGAUGCUCGAUAAGCACCUGAGGUAGAGAUGAUUUGGAGAGACUAGUGCAGUUUCCUAUAUCUAGACCAUCAAGGUUCGGAAAUGCUCCGCUCUCGAAGGCAGAAAGAAGCAGCUGGUCAUCGCAACACAUUGAAAGCUCUUUAACUGAUGGGAAAUCUGACGGCAAUGCUCUCAGUUUUGGGCAUGAUUCUAUCCUCAGGUCCGAGAGAAGAGGAAAGAAUUCUUGCCCCGCAAAUCCAAACCACUCCUCCAGCUUAGACAUGCAUGAUAGUGUCAAUUUCUCCAAAGCCAAGAACGCACCUUUCCCGCCAUAAAACUCUGAGCCCAAGCACUCAACCUCAGGAAGACAAGAUAGACUCAGGACCUUAAGAGAAGGACACUGCCCAAGGGGCGGAAGACGCUUGAUAGCAAGAAGAUUGUCUAAAUCAAGGAUCUUAAGGUGAUGCAGCUGGAUGAGUUCAGGAAGAGUCUCAGAUCUAACAAAGGUUCCCAAUUUAAGCUCUACAAGAUUAGGAAGUGUCGACUCCAACAGCCAUCUUGGAAACGUAUUUCCCAAGAAGCCUUCAAUCUCCAAUACGGUCAAAUUUUGGUGUGGUUGGAGGCCCUCAAGAAUUUUCUCGGCCAACUCACUGUCGGUAUCCCACUCUUGUGCCAGAAAUGCUUCCAUGAUUUUGUGCAUGCUUUCUUCAUCAUUGUUGUUACUUGCACAUUCAUCUAUUAUCUUUUUGUAAGCAUUCAGAUCCCAUGACAAAUGCAGUGAUUGAAGAUUCUGCUUUCCGAUCAAGUUAGCCUCCUUCGCCUCUUCUGCAUUUUUCACAUUUUCCAGCUUUCUUAUAUCUAAUCGGCCUUUAAGAUUGAGUCGGUUGAGCUCUCCAAGGCUGCACUUGUUCCUUCCACCAGCCACAAAGAUCGGUAGUGUUCGAAGGCAACUCAAUUGUCCUAUCCCUGAAGGCAUACAUGUCAGUUCAUAGCAAGCAUAUAUGUCUAGAUGUACAAGGCUUGCCAUGUUUUUCAUGUUUUCCGGAAGUUUGCGUACAAAGCAACAGUGUCUAAGUCCCAAUGAUCGAAGAUCUGAGAGGCAGCUAACGGAUUCGGGCAACUUUUGGAUGCCAGAAAUGGAGAGGUCUAAGUUUUGCAAACUUCUAAGACGGCCGAUUGAGGAUGGUAAAGAAAGAAGGCGCGAACAGCCACUAAGGUCCAAUUUAUAGAGAUUGAAGAGGUCACCAACGGUUUCUGGCAAUGCUUGUAGACUUCGACAACUUGCUAGGUUCAAGAUCUGCAGAUUCUGAAGGAGGCCAAUUGAUGGUGGAAGGUUUUUAAGGCUUGUCAAUGACAGAUUAAGGUACCUUAGAUGCCGAAGAUUUUUAACCGAAACUGGAAGUUUUUUCAUGGGGUAGUGGGCAAGAUGAAGUGAUCUUAGAAGCUUCAUGUUAGAGAAUAUAAUUUGAAGAACCUCGAGAAUCUUAUUGUAGUCGUCCUCAUUUUUGUUUAGGCGCAUUAACCUGCUAUGUGGUGCAACUAAAUAUAAGGUUCGCAACUUGUUUGCCUUAUUCAAAACUUCUAGAAUCGACGAUAUUGGCUCGUUUUUGCAGAGAAAUGAUGAAUAACGUGUGGUUGAAGCAAUGUCUCUUUUGGUACCACUAGGGUCAACAAUCGAGCACUCUUCCCCGGCAACGGACUGUGCAAGAUCGUGAACUAGGUCAUGCAUUUUGAUACUUAAUACUUCACCAUCUGAGCCUCUCCUAUAACUCUCAAAGAGAGAUCUUGAUAAUAACUCAUCCACAUAGCGCAAACCAAUAUCAGUCAAUUCUGCUCGCCUAUCUAAUGACUGAACGAAGCCUUCUGCAAUCCAAAGUUGGAUUAAUUUGUCGAUAUCUAUAGAAUUAUCCUUUGCAAAUAUGGAGCAAUAUGCAAAACAUUGUUUCAAACGUGGCGGCAAAUGAUUAUAACUCAACCUUAGGGCCGGCAAAAUUUCAUUCUCUUCAUCAGGUAAGUUCCAGAUAUCAUUGUCCCUAAUUGCCAACCACUCACUUUCCCUCCUCUUGAAUCGCAUCAAACUACCCAAAGCCUUUGCUGCCAAGGGAACACCGCCGGCUUUCUUCACAAUCCAUUUUCCGAUGGUUACCAAGUUUCCUGUCUUCGCACCGGCACCCAACCCGAAUGCUCUCCGCUCAAACAACAACCAGCAAUCAUCCUCUGAUAGACCGCGCAAAAUGUGAGGCUCAACCGUGCCCAUCAAAGAGGCAACUCUUACGUUCUGAGUGGUCACUACGACCUUACUUCCCCUGCCACCGGCGGUCAGCAAAGUCCUCAAUCUAUCCCACUUCUCGGAAUUCUCAUUCCAAACAUCAUCGAGCACGAGCAAGAAUCUCCUUCCCUCCAGCCUUUCCAUAAGCGAACGUUGCAUCGGCUCCAUGCUCGUGAGAUCAAACUUCGCUCCGGUCACAGAUUCCACGAUCGAUCUAAUAAGCCGUCUAGAGUCAAAAUCAUCAGAGACACAAACCCAUAUCAUCUCCUCGAAAUGGCCGUGCACCCUUCGAUCAUUAUACACUAACUGCGCGAGGGUCGUCUUACCGAGCCCUCCCAACCCGACAAUCCCAAUAACCCCAGGAUCAACCUCACUAGACAUGUCCAGCAGAAACUCAACUAUCAUUUCUUUAUCCUCCUCUCUACCGUAAACCUCCGAUUCGACUACGAAAGACCCGGUUUCCGCUCUCGCCGAAUUCUCUAUCUUACAAUCAUGUACCAGUCCCUCGCGCAAAUGAAACUUCGAUCUCUCGUCCGCGAUCUCGUCUAACCUCUCCCCAAUUUUUUUAACCUUCCUGGCUAUUCUAGACUGAAACAUGAUAGAGCUGGGGAGGGAAGACAGCUUACCGAGCACUGCCUUCGUGCCGCGGGAUGUCCUUCUGAGAGCUUCGGCGGCGACCUCGUCGAGCACGUCGUCGGCGUCGAAUGCGGCGUCCUUGAGCCUCCUCAGCGACCCGGCGAGCGCUCGCUCCUGCGACUGCCAAGCCUCCGCGUCCGCGAGCACGUGGCGGAUCGCGGCGAGGGUUGUCUCCAGCUUGGUCAGCUCUUUCUCGACGCCCAUCACUAGCCCGAACUCCUUUGUGAUCUGCGCUCCCAGCUUGUUAAACACCAGCCUCAGGAGGCUGGAGCUCACUAUGUCCGCCAUUGCUGCUAGCAAUUUCUCUUCUCUGAGUGCUUCCUCUGAUGCUUUGCUGCAAUGGAAUCUAAUUAAAUGCUAGUCACCAAGAGAGAGAGAGAGAGAGAGAGAGAGAGAGAGAAAAGUUUCUGGGAAGCGAGUGCUUUUGAAAAAGAGAGUAAAGCAGAAGAGAACAAAUGUAGUUAAGUUUCCCAGUAGAGAUUCUUUGAGUAGGGAUGAUGGGAUGUGGAAGUGACCUUGUGGGGACGAUGUCGGUUGCGAGGGAAAAAUUAUAAAAUACAAUGAUAUAUUGAUGACGUGACGUAACAAAUUAAUCAAAAAAAUUUUAAAAAAAAUUAUGUCCCAUCAUAAUUAUAAAAAAAUAUUUUUAUUAUACUUUUAUUUGAAAAAAAAAAAUAUGAUUGACUUGUUAUUGAUGACAUGGUACAAGUGUGAUACUAUAGAAUUUCUCGUUGCGAGGAGGGCUCACCUCUCAUUGCGCGUGUAGAGGCAAAAGGCAAAGAGGAUAACUAAUAAUAAAGAAUAGUAGAAAAUGAAGAAGGAAAAGAGAAAAAGGCGAAACAAGGAGCGGGACUGCCUUCGGCCAAAUCCCGCGCGGGCCUGCCGAUCCCCCGCCGUCCUCCCCAUUCGUUCAGAUUUCACGCAACUUCCGCCUGUAUAUAACUGACUCCUUUAAUUUGCAACUUUCAGCUCAUUUCUUGCAGGAGAAGAGGCGAAAGCUCUCCCGUGCGUCCUGCAACUUCUGUUAAUCACCUGCCACAAUGCAGGUCGGAAUUUGUUGCGGUUACAACAUUUUUAGACAAUUUCAUAUCUAAACCAAGCCAACCCCAGCUAUUUGGUACUUACUUAGGGGUGUAAUGUGGCACGGCCCACAUUUUUUUGUGUCGAUUCGGGCUAGGGGCCGGCCCAGCCUGGCCCGGUUACAAAUCUGGGCCGGACCGUGCCGGGCUGGAACUACCAACUCUUUGGCCCAGCACGACCCUUCGGUCUAGAAGGCCUAGGCCGUGCCCGGCCGGGCUGGGCCGUGCUACGGGCAGGCCUCUAAAAUUUUUUUAUUUUUUUUAAAAAUAUAUUAAAUUUAAAAUAUAAAUAAAUAAUUUUUUUAUUUAAAAGUUUAAAAUUUAUAAAAGUAAUUAUAAUAUAAUAAAUAUUUGUAAUUUUUUAAAAAAUAUAUAUAAUUUUUUAUGUUUUUGAAAAAAAAAUAAAUUGAGAGAGUUUUUGUUUGGUCCAUUGGACCAAAAACCUCCUUCCAAGGUUUGCCAGAGGAGAUCUCCUGGAGAGAUGGGCCCAGAAAAUCAUUGGGGUUCAAGUCGUGCGGGCCCGGCCUAAGCAGGUCUUGCCGUGUCGAGCCACGGGCCUCUCCUUGGUCCGGUAUGGCCCAGGCCCGUUUCGGACCGUACUGGGCCAGAUUGUUGGGUCCAAGAGGAGAGGCCCAACACGGCCCUCAAGCUCCAUUCGGGCCGGGCCGGCACGGAUGCUACAGCAACCGUUACAAGCUCUAGCCCGGCCCGAGGCCUUGCCAGGCCAGGGCCUAUAGGCCGCCGAGCCCGUUUUACACCCUCUAUUCUUACUAUGUGGAUAUUGGGACAACUCGAAUAUAAAGAAGAGUAUAUUUUAUAUAUUUUAAUUUUUUACAUUAAAAUUUUUAGCUUUUUAAAUUUUCUUUCAACCUUUCUGCUAAUAGUAGGACUGAUAAUUUAACUUAUUAUUCGAAAGCUGUCUCGUAUUCGGUCGCUAAUAAACAAGCCGAGCACGAACUAAUUUUUUUAGCUUGAUAUUUUAACGAGACAAUUCGUAUUCGGCUUAUUUAAUAAAUGUACAAAUACGAGCCGGCGCAAUUCGCUCGUGUUCAGCUCAUUAACAGCCCUACUGCUUAGAUAGAAGAGAUCUGUUAAUUUGAGACUUAAAAAAGUAGAUAAAUAAUUUAAAUAAAAAAGAUCCUCUGUAUUUUUAAUACUAUGUCUAUCAAUUUUAUUUUUUUUUUCAAUUCAUAUACUUUGUUGCAUAACUUAUAACUAACUUAAUCUGCAAAUUUAUUUUUGUAAAGCUUAAUUUACUAUUGAAUUCAACAGUAAUUCUAAAUAGUUGAAUCCGCUCAAGACAAUUAUGGCAAAGUGUAGGACUAAUUAAUUAAUUUCUUAUGUAGAGGGUUCGCGAGAUAUGAGAUCAAAUUCAAGGGGGUUUUUGUUAAAAGAAGUCUUUAUUUUACUGCAAUGUCCUGUUUGGGUACAUAAUAAAACAAUUUUAUGAAGUUUAUAUUCUGUAAUUUUGGUUUGAACAAAACAAAAAAAUUCUGUAAUUAUAAAAGUUUCCACAGCUACAGUUUUAAAUUAUUUGGAUUCACAUCAUAUAAUUUGGUAGCAACUCCAAAAAUUAAGAUUUUAUUUAAAAUUUAAAAUUUAACUAUAUUUGAUGGCUCGAGUUUUGACACUUUCUUUGUAUAGUGAAUUCGAUGGCUUUAUUUGCACAAUAAGAAAAUUGAAUUUGAACUGAAUUUAGAAUUUACUGUUUUGGUAUCAAGUUAACAUAAAAUAAUUAAUGGUUUUUAUUCAAAAACUUAAACUACCAUGUAACAGUACUUUUAAUAUUAAUAUUAUUCAACAAUAUCAAUUAUCUAUUUGCAUAAAAAAACUCAUAUAUCUCAAAAAGGCCAAAAUUAUUGGAAUGCUUAUUAUAUUUAAAUUUCAAUUGGAUAAAGAAAGUAAUAGAAUACAUAAGUGAAUUUGAUAGUUUUAUUUGUGGGAGAAAAAAAAAAUACAAUGCAGGCGAAACUGCAAGAGUUUUUUUUUUUUUUUUUUUUUUUUCCAAGUUGGCCCCACAAUCCAUAUAAUUGUAGAACACAAACAAAUUUACUAAAUUCAAAGUCAUAAAAUACAAGCAGAGUUCAUUUGCCUCAACAUUGGUAGCAGAAUUUACUUUUUGAAUAAAUAAAGAGAAUAGUAUGCUAUUUUGAUCUCAGAAAAAAAAAAAAAAACAAACUUGCAAAGAAUAUAUAUAUAAUGGGCAUUGUACUGAUUGCCAUACCUUUUUUAUCUUUUUUUUUUUUUGAGAAAAAGAUAGCGAGCUAUCUGCUUCAUUCAUUAGGGGAAAUGAACUAGGCUUACAUGGUGGAAGCCAGAAAGCUCGUUCCACGCAGUGAUCAGACGAUUGACCCGUUCCAGUGAGCGGGAAGGGUCGGGUGAUAUGUCGUUGAAUAUAAGAUUAUUCUGGUCGGUCCAGGCCACCCACCACGUAGCAGCCAAAAGGGUUGUGCGUUUAGUGCUCUUCCCAUCCUCACCAAGAUUGUUUGCCCACUUCCAAAGACCGGUGACAUUCUCCGUGGGCUCUGCGAAGCUCGCUCCUUCCGCACUGAGGAGAAGGUAUUUUACGAAAACGCAGUGACUGAAAAGGUGUUCACAGGUUUCCGUGUUUAGGGCGCAGAAAACGCACUGUUGGUCUACCGUCAAGCCACGUUUAUAUAGGCGAUCAGCGGUUAGAAGUCUCUUACGCAGUAGAAGCCAUGUGAACACUUUGAUUUUAACAGGGGUGCGCAUUCUCCAGAUUAGGUGGCUCGUUGGGUCUCUCACACUUGUGUUUGAUAGAAAUCGGUAGAGGGAUUUGACGGAAAAAAGUUGGUUGGGAGUCCAUCGCGCAAUAUUCCAAAACAAAAGGCUAUAGGAGUUCCGCAAUGCAUCUGAUGAAGUCUAGAUCAUCAUCAUGCAUAGGAUUCCACCAAUAGAAGUCUCGACAUUUUACGGAUGUUAAGUGCUUCGCGAGAAUUCGUGGAACAAAUGGUCGAGCAAGAUCAUAGGAAUUUGCCAAGUGCACAAUCUUGAGAUUUGGAAAUGCGCCAUGAGGGAGAGAAGAUAGCAGCAGCUUACUAUUAGCACACAAAUACAGUCGCUCUACGGAUGGAAAAGACGAGGGUAGUUCUUUCAAUUUUCGACAAUCUAGUAGCCUCAACUCCGACAGACGAGGGAAAGAUCGCCGCCCAGCUGAUGCUUCACACCACUCCUCCAACUCAGGCAUGUGUUCUAGACUCAAGUUCUCCAAUACUGGGAAAGCACCAUCGCCUGCACCGUAGAACUCUGAGCCCAGGCUCUUGACUGCUAGGAGAGCAACGAGAUGUAAGACUUUAAGAGCAGGCAACUGCCCCAGCGAUGGAAGAGACUUGAUGGCGGGAAGCUUCUCGAGAGAAAGGAUCUCAAGGUUAUGCAACUGACUUAUUUUUGGGAGGGUCUCACAUCUGAAACAAAAAGAUAAGUAAAGCUCAAGAAGAUUUGGAAGACUUGACUCCAACCAUUUCGGAAAAGUUUUGCCCGGGUAGCGAUAUAUCGCCAAUAGGGUCAAAUUUUCAUGCGGUUGGAGGCCAUCGAGGACUUCUUCGGCUACCGCAAGUGCACUGAUCAGACCUUGCCUGCUUCUUCCUUCUACGUCAGUGCGCACAUAGGCUUCCAUCUGUUUCUUAUAAGUAUCCAGGUCCCAUGCCAACCCUAGUGAGUGAAGACCAUCCAUUUCAAUUAAGUUAGCCUCUCUAGCCUGCUGGACAUUCUUCACAUUUUCUAGGCUAGUAAUCAAUAGGAUGCCUUCAAGAUUAAGUCUGUUGAGCUCCUUGAGGCCGCACUCGCUCUUCUCGCAAAGAUCAAAGAGCAGUAGUUCUCGAAAGUAGCUUGGCUGUGUAAGUCCAGCGGGCAUGCGCGUUAAUUUAUGGCAAUGACCUGGGUGAAGACAUGUAAGGCUUUUUGUAUUCUUUUUGUUCUCCGGGAGCUCGUGUAGAAAGAAACAGUGUCUUAUAUUAAUUGAUCGAAGAUUUGAGAGGCAACAUAAGCUUUCGGGCAACUUUUUUAUUCUCGUAUGUGCCAAGUUUAAGGUUUGCAAACUCUUUAAAUGGCCAAUGGAAUUUGGUAGGGAGACAAAGCUUGUACAACAUUCAAGAUUCAGUGUUAGUAUGUUGGAGAGAUUACCAAUGGAGUCUGGUAAUUCUUUUAAAAAUCGACAUCCUUGCAUGUCCAAAACAUGCAGAUUUUGCAGAAAACCAAUUGAUUGUGGCAGUGCUUCAAGGUUUGUGUAUGACAAAUUGAGAUACCUUAGGUGUCUGAGAUUACCAAUUGAAUUUGGCAAUUCUUUGAUUGGGUAGUAUUUAAGAUAAAGUGCUCUUAGAAGCUUCAUACUAGAGAAAACAGUUUGAAGAAUCUUCAGCAUCAUAUCUUCCUUUCCUAUCUGCACAAAAGGAUGUGAUUUGAGGAAGUAAAAGGUUCUCAACUUUUUGACUUCAUUGAGGAUCUCUAGAACCGAUGGUAUUAUCUCUAUUGUGUAGAUAAAAGACGAAUAACGUGUCGAAGGAUAUAUGUCUCUUCUAUUGACAGCUUUGGCAAUGCUUGAACAUUCUUCACCUGAAACAAAUUGAGCGAGAUCAUGAACAAGAUCAUGAAUCACGACAGCACCUAUCACAUGCCUAGGUUCCUCGAAAAGUGAUCUCGAUAAUAGCUCUUGGAUAUAUUGGUAACCCACGUCUUCCAAUUCCACACUCUCGGUGAGUGACCGAACAAAUCCUUCAGCAAUCCAAAGUUGGAUCAGGUCCUUAAUUAUUAUAAUAGUAUCCUUUGGAAAUAUGGAGCAAUAUGCAAAGCAUUGCUUCAAGUGCGAUGGCAAAUGAUUAUAACUCAACCUUAGAGCUGGUAAAAUCCCAUUCUCUUCUAACUUCCAACUAUCAUUAUCCCGAACAGCCAGCCACUCUUUUUCCCUUCUCUUAGAGCGCAUCAAGCUACCUAAAACCUUCGCUGCCAACGGGACACCGCCACAUUUUUUCACAAUCUCCUUUCCAAUGGUAACCAAGUUUGCGGUCUUCUCACAAGCACCUAUCCCAAAUGCUCUUCUCUCAAACAACAACCAACAAUCAUCCUCAGAUAAAGUCUUCAAAAAGUGUGGCUCCACCGUGGCCAUUACUGAGGCUACUCUACUACUACGGGUGGUCACUAUUAUUUUACUUUCGGUCGCACCAAUAGUUAGCAAAGUCCUAAAUUUGUCCCACUUCUCAUAAUUUUCAUUCCAUACAUCAUCCAGCACGAGCAAAAAUCUCUUUUUCUCAAGCUCCUGUUUUAGUUUAGACUGCAUCGACGCCAUGCUUGUGAGAUCGCAAGCAUUUUCUGUUGUAUGCUCGAUUAUUGAUCUGACAAGCCUUUUAUGGUCAAAAUCAUCAGAAACACACACCCAUAUUCUUUUCUCAAAGUGAUCGCUUAUUUGUCGAUCAUUAUAGACUAAUUGCGCGAGUGUCGUCUUACCGAGCCCUCCCAUCCCAACAAUUGCUAUAAUCCCGAGAUCACCUCCAGACCUGUCCAGGAGAAAUUCGAUGAUCUUUUUCUUAUCUUCUUCCCGACCAUAAACUUCCGAUUCGAUUACGAAGGAACUAGUUUCUUCUCUUGCAAUAUUCUCUUGCCUACAGCAUGUUACUACAGAUCUCUCUUGCAAAUGAAACUUAGAUCUCUCCUCUGCGAGCUCAUCUAGUCUCUCCCUAAUCUCUCUAAUCUCCCUACCAAUCUUAAACUGAGAAAUAAAUGAGUCAGGCAAAGAUAACAGGUUACUCACCGUUCCCAUCAUCCAGCUAGCAGUACUGCUUUCCGGAUCAGCUAAACUCCUCUUCCGGUUCUUGGCCAAGCCCUCGUCUAGCAGAUCGUCGAUAUCAUAGGCCACGUCUUUGAGGCGUCGCAGCCACCCUUUGAGAGCUUUCUCCUGCACUUGCCGCGCCUCCGCAUCCUCGAGCACGUCGCGGAUGGCGGAGAGGGUGCCCGCCAGCUUCUUCAGCUCGGUGCCGACGUCCAUCAGCUGACCAAACUCGCUUGUGAUUCGGUCCCUCAGUCUGUCCAGCAAUGAGUUCAGGACGCCGGAAGCCACUACGUCUGCCAUUUUCUUUUUGAUGUAAUCAAUCGAUCGAUCGAUCAAGAAUUGAAUGAAAUUAAGAUGAAUAAGGCUAAACGAAAGGAGAGGAGACCAGUUUUACGCUGUGCAAAAGACUUGACUUGAGGAUCCUUCCAUGUCGGCGGGUGAUUGGCCUGAGAGUAGAAAAAAAAGUCAUACAAGAAGAAAAAUGGAGGGCGAAACAUCAGCAUUCUCGCAAGAAAAAUAAAAGGGAGGCCAAAUUAAGGUCAUUCUCAGGUUGACCAAAUCAACCUGCCUACUCUUUCUGCAAUAUUUUGAUUAGGACUUUCUCUAAGACCGUCAUAUUUUUUUAUGAGUACGAGGGCCAUCGUACUCAUAAUAGUAUAGUAGCCGGACCCUAUAUAUAUAUAUAUAUAUAUAUAUAUAUAUAGGUAUAUAGAGUCCGGCUACUAUACUAUUAUGAGUAUGAUCGCCCUUGUAUUUGUAAGUUAUUUUCGAUGAUAAAGCUUCCGAAUCGACGAUCCACACCGUUAAACAUUAUUUACAGUAUUUAAAACUUCUAAAAAUCAAAUUUUAUAAUUUUUCGACAUCAUUUACCUUACGAUCAAGAGGUCACAAAUUUGACAAUUUUAAUUAACGGCCGGUAUCAGAUACUUGCUAGUUUAACGGUGUAAAAAAAUUAGAAUUUGUUGAAUUUUUGAUAGAAAAUUUUAUUCACUACAUAGAUAAAGAUCAAUAACUCUGAUCUUUAAUUGAAGGAUCCGAUCAUCCUUUUUUAGGACGUCAUUCGAUUUUGAUCAUUCAUUUUAUGCCCACUUGAUGGACUUUAUUAUGAUUUCGAAAAUUUACGAAAUUUAUUUUUUAGAAGUUUCAAAUACUCUAGAUCAUAUUUAAUGAAGUGGAUCGUCGAUUCGGAAGCUCUAUCAUUGAAAACAACUUAUGAGUAUGAGGGCUCCAAUACUCAUAAUAGUAUAGUAGCCACGGCCUAUAUAUAUAUAUAUAUAUAGAGAGAGAGAGAGAGAGAGAGAGAGAGAGAGAGAGAGAGAGAGAGAGAGAGCAGGACUGCUGUGCUCUUAGGAGCACGGAGGCCUCCGUGCUCCUGAGCCGUUUUCGAUGAUGAAAUUUUCGAAUUGACGAUCGGUUCCGAAAGACUUGAUCUAGCGCAUUUGAAGUUUCUCGAAAAUAAUUUUUGCGAUUUUUUGAUUUCAUUUAUCUAGUGAUCAAAAGGAUUCAAAAUUCAUAAUUUUUAAUGGUUGAUAUCUGUCAUUUUCAAAUUUAACGGUGUAGAAGUAUUCAAAUCAGAUGAAAUUUUGAUACAAAAUUUUUUAUACUAUUUACAACAAGAUCAAUAUUUCUGAUCCAAAAUUUUGGUGCUAUAUCACCACUUUUUAUAGGAUUUUUAUUUUCAGCCGUUAAAAAUUAUUGAUUUUGAAUCAUUUCGAUUGCUAGGUAAAUGAUAUUGAAAAAUCGCAAAAAUUAUUUUCUAGAAACUUCAAAUAUGCUAGAUCAAGUUUAACGGAGCCGAUCGUCGAUUCGCAGACUCCAUCAUCGAAAACGGCUCAGGAGCACGGAGGCCUCCGUGCUCCUGAGAGCACAGCAGCCUAGCACUCUCUCUCUCUCUCUCUCUCUCUCUCUCUCUCUCUAUAUAUAUAUAUAUAUAUAUAUGAUAUGAACUAAGUUAUUUGAAUUAGCACAAAUUUCUGUGCUUUGACAUCUAGAAUCUUAAUUUUCACUUUAUUUCAAAAGAAAAAAUUGCAUAAGUUUUAAUUUCAUACAACAAAAGAAGUUCCACUUAUUGCUCUAGGUUUUCUAUCUUAAUUUUUUAUAUAAAUAGGCUAUUAAAUUAAAUAGCAAAAUAUAUGUUCUACAAAUUACAAUAAACUAUCUUAUUUUACAAACCACAUAGUAAUAAAAUAAUAUAUUUUACUAUGUAUUUUAAUAUUUUAAAAUAAAUGUUAUCAUUCUAAAAUACUUUUUUAAAGAAUUUUGAAGUUAAGGGCAAAAUGGGCAACCACAUUCAUGACAAUUUAAACACUGUAGCAUUCUGAAAGAGACGGAAAUCAGUAGUAAGGAUAUAUUUGAAAGAUAAUAAGUAUUUGUAGGCGUAUUUGUGAUAUAAUUAAAUUUAUAGGGACAUCUAUGAUAUUUUUGAAGUUUAGAAGGGCGUGAAUAAAAUUGACUCAAAAUAAUAUGUGUUAUUUGGAGAACAAGAGACAUUGUGAUAUAAGUUAGAAUAAUAGUAAAUUUAUAUUUGAAUGUAUUUAGAGAGUAAAACUAUACGUAGACCGCUCACUUUGAAGAGAUCUAUUAAUUUGAGACUUAAAAAAAUAAUAAUAAUUUAAAUAAAAAAUCUUUUAUAUUUUUAAUACUCUCAAAAUUGAUAGUUCACGAAUUUUUUUUUUCAACUUAUAUACUUUGUUGUACAACUUAUAACUAACUUAAUCUGCAAACUUAUUUUUACAAAGCUUUACAAUUGAAUUCAACAGUAAUUCUAAAUAGUUGGAUCCCUUCGAGACAAUUAUGGCAAAGUACAGUACUAAUUAAUUAAUUUUUUACGUAGAGUGUUCACGAUAUAUGAGAUAAAAAACAAAGGGUCUUUUUGUUAAAAGAAGUCUUUAUUUUUACUGUAAUGCCCUAUUUGGAUACAUAAUAAAAAAGUUUCAUGGAGUUUAGCUAUAUUCUGUAAUUUUGGCUUGAAAGAAAUAGAAAAUUUGGUAACUAUAAAAAAUUUCACAGAUUUAAUUUUAAACUGUUUGGACAUAUAUCAUAUCAUUCCACAAAAACUCCAACAAUUAAAACUUUAUGUAAAUUUAAAAUUUAACUAUUUAUGAUGGCUCGCUUCUAGUUUGGCACUUUUUUGUGUAGUGAAUUUGAUGGCUUUAUUUGCACAAUAAGAAAAUUGAAUUUGAUUUGAAUUUAGAAUAUACUGUUUUGAUUUGAAGUUAAAUAAUAUAAAAUAAUUGUUUUUCUUCAAAAACUUCAACUACCAUAUAUUAGUAUUUUUAAUAGAGAAAUGAUUCGGUACCUUUUAAAAAAAAAAAAAAAAGAUCUUAACCGUUGAUUAAUAGAGGGUAAAAAUGUAAUUUUAAUACUUAGCAUGUAAAAGGAUUAUUAUAUUCAAGGUUAGUUUGGUAAUUAAACAAUAUAACAUUUAAAGAAACUUUUAAUUGAGUUCCUAAAUUUACGCAUUAAUUUGCACUAAUUUAAGAAAUUAAUUGAUUAGCCAAAGUUAUGCAUUAAUUAGGCAAUUUAGGCAUCUACUUUAAAUGUUUUAGUGUUUCUAAAAUUAUGCAUUAAUUUAUAUUAUAGGAAUUUUAGAAAUAGUUUUAUUUCUAAAUACAAUGAAUUUAAAUUUUAAAUAUUAAAUAUUUAAAAUUUAAAAGUGUAAUUAAAAUUAGAGGAAUUUUAUAUUACUAUUUAAAAAAAAUUUAAUGUUGGUAAAUAUUUUAAUUCAACAUAUUUAAUAUGUUUAAGAAACUUUUAAACUCCUAUAAUUUAGACAUUAAUUUUGUAUCAUUUAUUUAAAAAAUUUUGAAUGUAGGUUAAAAUAUUUAUAAUUUAAAUGUAUUUAAUAAGUUAAAAAAAAUUUAGAAUUGUUCUACUUUAGAUAUUAAUUUUGUAUGACUAUUUAAAAACAUUUGUAAUGUUGGUAAAUAUUUAAAUUUAACAUAUUUAAUACGUUUAACAAAAUUAGGAAUUCAUCUUAAUCAUUAAUUUUGUUUACUAAUUUAAAAAAUUAAAUGUGGGCAAAUAUUUAAAUUCAACAUAUUUAAUAUAUUUAAAAAAAUUUAAGAAUUUUUCUAAUUUAGAUAGUAUUAUCACUAUUUAAAAAAUUUAAUGUAGAUAAUUGAUUAGAAAUAUAGGGUAAGGAUAUAAUUCAAAUUUAUUUGUAGUAUACUAGUAUCCCUACACUUAGUAUAUAUAUAUAAGUGUGUGUGUGAGGGUACGUGUGUGUGUGUGUGUGAGUGCACAUGUGUGAGUUUGUGUAAUGCCAUGUGGCAUCACCUCCCCCCCCCUCUUUUAUGCAUGCAGGGAAGAGAGAGAGAGGAGUUUAUCUCCUCUCUUCUCUCCUUUUCUCUUUCGUUCGGCCGUACCAAGGAAGCACGCGAGGGACGCCGCCGCGGAGCCGAUUUCGCCGUCGACGUCGCACCGCAGAGCCGUUCGAACCUACGGUUGCUGCCGUUGCAUCGUGAGGAGGCCGGGCGAGCGUGGAUCUUCGCCGUUCUUGACGUCGCGCCAGUGCUAGUCGCCGUCGAGGUGGGUGUUCCAUAGAAUUGCUUCCUAAUUUCCAAGCUUUUUCAAUUUCGAGCUAGUUGCUGUCCCUGCAGAUUUCCAGCGUCGACCGUUGGCGUUUCGGCUCGUACUCGACGUAGGAGCGUCGGAUUUCGACGAGGCUUGAUUCGCUGGAUUAAGGACUUCGAGAGGAAUCCACGAAGCCCUUACUUGCCAGAUUUCGUUGAGGUUAGAUUGGUCGAAUCCGUGCUGUACCUGACUGCUGCGAAUUUUGGGACUGAAACGGUGAUUUGUGCUUUGUAGAGCGUGGUGUUAGCUCGACUCCCGGAUUUGGAGGGUGUAGAUCGACCAGCAGGUGGUGCUGCAGCUGUGAGGGUGUUUUGCUGCCAGAAUUAGCGACUAAGGUGGGUUUACAUCGGUUUAUUCCUAAGUGUAGUAAUAGUCGACAUGUAUGAUUUUCUGUUCGGUAAAUCAUAUUGUAGUUCGUUUUUCAUAAUGAUAUCCUGGAUAAAUGCUGCAUAUAUAACCUGAUUAUUACCUUUUAAAUAUACAUGUUGGACUGGGUUUAAACUUAGGAGAAAACGCGAUUGGAAUCGACAUAUGUAUUAACUGCCUGAUUUAGCUCUAGGAGCCGUUAUAGAAUUGUACUGUCGCAGCAUACUGUAGACGAGUACUUCAGGUAGUUUAGAAUACAUUUACGCUCGUGCUGGUAUGCCGAGUGAAUUUUUCUGAGGUCGUUUAGACUGUUUCGUACUAGUGGGCGCCGUCGGGACUGACGGUGGGCCCGGUUCGCCGUUUUGGCGUCGGAUUGUGCCGAGGGCACGUUGUUUGUUGGUUGUUAGACCAGUUUGAGUCGAUUACUUGACUUUGGCUAGUUGGAGCCUGAUUGAGCUCGACAGAGAUACGCUGCAUACUCGGUUGGGUAGCUCCCACGAGUGCCACUCCGGAGGCGGGCGCGGUGCUUUUGCGUUGGUGUCGCUCAUGCCAGUUGGACUUGCUCUCCACGGACCAGCUAGUGUGGAUAGAGCCUGAUAGUCGCAACGGGGCAGGGACGGGUGUGUUCACAGUCCCAGGGACGGGUAUGUUUACAGUCCCAAUUGGAUUGGGUCAGAUUUGACAUUUCCUACAGUCGGUUAAUGUAGAGCAUGAUAGUGUAGUGGAUGAUAGCGAUAGAGUGUACUUCCUGCUUUUCCUUCUAUCCUUGCUCCCUUCUGUAGACUUAGUGGGUGACCGAUGUCGUUUUGGGCGGUACCCACUGAGGACUACUUGUUUUUACAGUAGUUCUCACGCCCAGUUGUUACCUAUGUUUUGCAGAGCCACAGGUUUCGGCUACUGCGCCUUCCGCGGAUCAGGAUCGAGGCAAGGGCGUCGCGAGGUAGAGCCCUACCCGACUGACAGAGCUAGAGGCACCCCCCUACUGCAGGUAGUUGCUAUUUUAGAGUUUAUGUACAUAGUUGUUUAACUCGCCGGUGCGAGUAGCUUUGUAUUUUGGAUUUGGACUAUAUAUAUGAAACUCAGUUGUUUAGCUUUGUAUAUUGAGCAGCUCUAUGCUACUGUUUGUAGUAUUGUAUAUUUACAGGUACUUUUGACGCUUCGUAUACAGGGGAAAUUCCUUGUAUACGGCGGAUUUGUCGGCGUGCCCGGGGAACGAGACAUCCGGGGCGUGACAUUAUUUUUAUAAUAGAAUUGUAUAGACAAAAUUAAUUCAAAUUUUGGUAGUAAAAAUUGAUUUUUAAAAAUAAUAAAAUCAUGUAUUGUAAUUUAAAAUAUAAGCCGAAAACAAAAUAAAUUUAAAGUUUAGAACCUAAAAAGUAUAGAGAAAUCUUCAAUAAAUCUAAAUAAUAUAGUACAAUUUAAACUUAUCAAUAAAUAAAUUUAUACUGUAUAAUUCAAAUUUUAAGUUAAUAAUGCCACACACCUUUUCCGUCAGAAUAUUGUUUUCUGAUCCAUUAGCCAUCGCAAAUUUCAAUAAGUUAUUACUAUCAAAACUAAACAAAAUUAAUAUCCUACAAUAUGAUAAAAUUUGAAAAUUCUCAGAUCGAACUAGAAAAAAAUUAACUAACAAAUUAAAUCACAAAAUAAUCUAAAUUUCAUUCUUAUUUUAUUAAAAAAAGAUUUAGAAAGCAAUAGAUAUGGAAAUAAAUUUUAAUACAUAGUUUCUUAAAAUUAAAUUGAUUUGCAAUAUUAAACAAAUAAACAAAGGGAAAAAAAAAUUAAAAGAUCAUAUUGUCAAAUCAUUUGAAAUUUUUCUUAUAUGAAAUGUCAAAUUAUGAAAGGAAAGAUAGAGAGAGAAAAAGGAAACAAAGAAAAAAUACAAAUUUUGAGGUAAAAUAUAGUAAAGGUAAAAUAACUAAAUUACUCAUAUAUUAAAAGUCAAAAAUGCCCUUUUUUGAGGUACCUGAUAACCGGUACCUCUCCCAAAGUGAUCUGCUAUUGCAGGUCACAAUUUAAAAAAAACUAAAUCUGAGUCGUUGAAUACGCAUGAAUGAACGGUAAUAAAAAAAAAAAAAAGUAUAGAAGCAUUACUCUUUUUAAUAUUAAUAUUCAACAAUCUCAAUUACCUAUUUGCAUUAAAAAAAAAUUCCAUUUAUCUCAUAAAGGCCAAAAAAAUAAAAUGGAAUGAUUAUUAAAUUUAAAUUGGAUAAAGAAAGUAGCAGAAUACAUAAGUGAAUUUGAUAGUUUUAUUUGCGAGAGUAAAAAAUUAUGAUGCAGGUGAAACUGCAAGAGCUUUUUUUUUUUUCCAAGUUGGGCCCACAAUCCGUAUAAUCGUAUAACACUAAAACAAAUUUACUAAAUUCAAAGUCAUAAAUACAAGCAGAAUUCAUUUGCCUUUGUCGUAGAAUUUAUUUUUCAAAUAAAUGAAGAAAAUAGCAUGCUACAUUUAUCUUAGAAAAAAUAUAUAUAAACUUGCAAAGAAUGGACGUUAGUGACGCGCAAACAUCAACACAUACAUUUUCUUUUAUAUAUAUAUAUAUAUAUAUAUAUAUAUAGAGUGAGGCUACUAUGCUAUCGAAAGCACGGAGCCUUCCGUGCUUGCAGCUCGUUUUCGAUGUUGCGACUUUCGAAUCGUCGAUCGGCUCUGUUAAACUUGAUCUAGAUUAUUUGAAGUACCUAGAAAAUAAAUUUUAUGAUUUUACGAUAUCAUUUGCCUAGUGAACGAAGGGGCUCAAAAUCAACGGCUGAAAAUAAAAAUCUUACAAAAUGUAAUAAUAUGACAUUAAAAUUUUAAAUCAAAGAUAUUGAUCUUGUUUUAUAUAGUAUAAANNNNNNNNNNNNNNNNNNNNNNNNNAACAUCGAAAAUAAAGUGGAAGCACGGAGCCCUCCGUGCUUCCAUAAGCAUCCUAGCCGCACUCUCUCUCUCACUCUCUCUCUCUCUCUCUCUCUCUCUCUCUCUCUCUCUAUAUAUAUAUAUAUAUAUAUAUAUAUAGGCUGGGGCUACUAUACUCUUAUGAGUAUAGACCCUCUUGUACUUAUAAAUUUUUAACCGUUGAUUGAUAGGAUAUGUGGUUAGGAUGAUGGUGGUCCCCACUUAGAAUAAUAGUAGUUCCCUAGGGUUGAGUAGGUAGUUGGUUGAAUAGUAUGAUUUAACAGGUGAAAAUGAUCAAUGGAAUAAAUCUAAUGGUCAAAAACUUAUGAGUAUAAAAGAGCCAAUACUCAUAAAAGUAUAGUAGCCGGACUCUCUCUCUCUCUCUCUCUCUCUCUCUCUCUCUAUAUAUAGGGUCCGGCUACUAUACUAUUAUGAGUACGAUCGCCCUCGUACUCAUAAGUUGUUUUUGAUGAUAGAGCUUCCGAAUCGACGAUCCACACUGUUAAACAUUAUUUACAGCAUUUAAAACUUCUAGAAAUCAAAUUUUAUAAUUUUUCGACAUUAUUUAUCUUAUGAUCAAGAGAUCACAAAUUCGACAAUUUUUAAUGGCCAGUAUGGAAUACUUGCUAGUUUAACGGUGUAAAAGAAUCGAAAUUUGUUGAAUUUUUGAUAGAAAGUUCUAUUCACUACAUAGAUAAAGAUCAAUAACUCCGAUUUUGAAUUGAAGGAUCCGAUCAUCCUUUUUUAGGACGUCGUUCGAUUUUGACCGUUCAUUUUGUGCCCACUUGAUGGAUUUUAUUAUGAUUUCAAAAAUUUACGAAAUUUAUUUUCUAGAAGUUUCAAAUACUCUAGAUCAUAUUUAACGGAGUGGAUCGUCGAUUCGGAAGCUCCAUCAUUGAAAACAACUUAUGAGUACGAGGGNNNNNNNNNNNNNNNNNNNNNNNNNNNNNNNNNNNNNNNNNNNNNNNNNNNNNNNNNNNNNNNNNNNNNNNNNNNNNNNNNNNNNNNNNNNNNNNNNNNNNNNNNNNNNNNNNNNNNNNNNNNNNNNNNNNNNNNNNNNNNNNNNNNNNNNNNNNNNNNNNNNNNNNNNNNNNNNNNNNNNNNNNNNNNNNNNNNNNNNNNNNNNNNNNNNNNNNNNNNNNNNNNNNNNNNNNNNNNNNNNNNNNNNNNNNNNNNNNNNNNNNNNNNNNNNNNNNNNNNNNNNNNNNNNNNNNNNNNNNNNNNNNNNNNNNNNNNNNNNNNNNNNNNNNNNNNNNNNNNNNNNNNNNNNNNNNNNNNNNNNNNNNNNNNNNNNNNNNNNNNNNNNNNNNNNNNNNNNNNNNNNNNNNNNNNNNNNNNNNNNNNNNNNNNNNNNNNNNNNNNNNNNNNNNNNNNNNNNNNNNNNNNNNNNNNNNNNNNNNNNNNNNNNNNNNNNNNNNNNNNNNNNNNNNNNNNNNNNNNNNNNNNNNNNNNNNNNNNNNNNNNNNNNNNNNNNNNNNNNNNNNNNNNNNNNNNNNNNNNNNNNNNNNNNNNNNNNNNNNNNNNNNNNNNNNNNNNNNNNNNNNNNNNNNNNNNNNNNNNNNNNNNNNNNNNNNNNNNNNNNNNNNNNNNNNNNNNNNNNNNNNNNNNNNNNNNNNNNNNNNNNNNNNNNNNNNNNNNNNNNNNNNNNNNNNNNNNNNNNNNNNNNNNNNNNNNUAUUCUAAUAUCCCACUUUAGCUCCUUAAGAGAAGAGGCUAACAAUAUGGGCCUUUGGAUCAAAAGAACCAUGAUCCAAAAGCUUACAAAUAGGGCCCCACAUACAUGAUAAGAAAAUAUAGAAAGAGGAGAUUUUGACUUCACCAAAUUACAUAGCCCAAAUAGCAAGACCUAAAUAAUAAAUAGGCCCAAUAUAAUUAGCUCAACAAUAUAUAUAUAUAUAAUGGGCAUCGUAUUGAUUGCCAAACCUCUUUUUAUCUGGAGACAAAUAUAAGUAGUGCAAUAUUCCAAAACAAAAGGCUAUGGCAGUUCUGCAGUACGUUUGAUGAAGUCUAGAUCAUCAUCGUGCAUAGGAUUCCACCAGUAGAAGUCCAGACAUUUUACCGAUGUUAAGCGCUCCGCGAGAAUUUGUGGAACAGAUGGUCGAGCAGGGUCAUAGGAAUUUGCCAGAUGCACAAUCUUGAGACUUGGAAAUGUGCCGCUUGGGAGAGAAGAUAGCAGCAGCUCACUGUUAGCGCACAAAUACAGCUGCUCAACGGACGGAAAAGAUGAAGGCAGUUCUUUCAGUUUUCGGCAGUCUAGUAGCCUCAACUCCCACAGACGAGGGAAAGAUCGUCGCCCAGCUGAUGCUUCACACCACUCCUCCAACUCAGGCAUGUGUUCUAGACUCAAGUUCUCCAAUACUGGGAACGCACCAUCACCUGCACCAUAGAACUCUGAGCCCAGGCUCUUGACUGCUAGGAGAGAAGCGAGAUUCAAAACUUUAAGAGCAGGCAACUGCCCGAGCAGCGGAAGAGACUUGACGGCGGGAAGCUUCUUGAGAGAAAGGGUCUCAAGGUUAUGCAAUUGACUUAUUCUUGGGAGGGUCUCACAUCUGAAACAAGAAGAUAAGUAAAUCUCAACAAGAUUUGGAAAACUCGACUCCAACCAUUUUGGAAAAAUUUUGCCCGGGUAGCAAAAUAUCGCCAAUAGGGUCAAAUUUUCGUGCGGUUGGAGGCCGUUGAGGACUUCUUCGGCUACUGCAAGUGCAUUGAUCAGACCUUGCCUGCUUCUUCCUUCUACGUUAGUGCGCGUGCUGUAGGCUUCCAUUUUCUUCUUGUAAGUAUCCAGGUCCCAUGCCAACCCUACUGAGUGAAGACCAUCCAUUUCUAUUAAGUUAGCCUCUCUAGCCUGUUGGAAAUUCUUCACAUUUUCUAGGUUAGCAAUCCAUAGGAAGCCUUCAAGAUUAAGUUUGUUGAGCUCCUUGAGUCCACACUCGCUCUUUUCGCAAAGCUCAAAGAGCAGUAGGUCUCGAAAGUAGCUUGGCUGUACAAGUCCAGCGGGUAUGCACGUUAAUUUAUGGCAAUGACCUGUGCAAAGACAUGUGAGGCUUUCCGUGUUCUGCUUGUUCUCUGGGAGCUCGCGCAGAAAGUAACAGCUUGUUAGAUUAAUUGAUCGAAGAUCUGAGAGGCAACAUACGCUUUCGGGCAACUUUUUUAUCCUGGUAUAUGCGAGGUUUAAGGUUUGCAAACUCUUUAAAUGACCAAUGGAAGUUGGUAGGGAAACAAAGCUUGUGCAGCGUUCAAGAUUCAGUAUUACUAGAUUGAAGAGAUUACCAAUGGAGUCUGGUACUUCCUUUAAAAAUCGACAUCCUUGCAGGUCCAAAACUUGUAGAUUCUGCAAAAAACCAAUAGAUUGUGGCAGUGUUUGAAGGUUUGUGUAUGACAAAUUGAGAUACCUUAGGUGUCUAAGAUUACUAAUUGAAUUUGGCAAUUCUUUGAUGGGGUAGUAUUUCAGAUAAAGUGCUCUUAGAAGCUUCAUACUAGAGAAAACAGUUUGAAGAAUCUUCAGCAUCAUAUCUUCCUUUCCUAUCUGCACAAAAGGAUGUGAUUUGAGGAAGUAAAAGGUUCUCAACUUUUUGGCUUUAUUGAGAAUCUCUAAAACCGAUGGUAUUAUCUCUAUUGUGUAGAUAAAUGAUGAAUAACGUGUCAUAGGAUAUAUGUCUCUUUUAUUGACAGCUUUGGCGAUGCUUGAACAUUCUUCACCUGAAACAAAUUGAGCGAGAUCAUGAACAAGAUCAUGAAUCAUGAUGGCACCUAUCAUAUGCCUAAGUUCCUCGAAAAGUGAUCUCGAUAAUAGCUCUUCGAUAUAUUGGUAACCCACACCUUCCAAUUCCACACUCUCGUUGAGUGAUCGGAUAAAUCCUUCAGCAAUCCAAAGUUGGAUCAGGUCCUUAGUUAUUAUAAUAGUAUCCUUUGGAAAUAUGGAGCAAUAUGCAAAGCAUUGCUUCAGGUGCGACGGCAAAUGAUUAUAACUCAACCUUAGAGCUGGUAAAAUCCUAUUCGCUUCUAACUUCCAACUAUCAUUGUCCCGAACAGCCAACCACUCACUUUCCCUUCUCUUAGAGCGCAUCAAGCUACCUAAAACCUUUGCUGCCAGCGGAACACCGCCACAUUUUUUCACAAUCUCCUUUCCAAUGGUAACUAAGUUUGUCGUCUUCUCACAAGCACCUAUCCCAAAUGCUCUUCUCUCAAACAACAACCAACAAUCAUCCUCGGAUAAAGUCUUCAAAAAGUGUGGCUCCACCGUCGCCAUUAGUGAGGCAACUCUACUAUUACGGGUGGUCACUAUAAGUUUACUUGCGGUGGCCCCGGUAGUUAACAAAGUCCUAAAUAUGUCCCAUUUCUCGUAAUUUUCAUUCCAUACAUCAUCCAGCACGAGCAAAAAUAUUUUUUUCUCAAGCUCCUGUUUUAGUUUAGACUGCAUCGACGCCAUGCUUGUGAGAUCACAAGCAUUUCCCGUUGUAUGCUCUAUUAUUGAUCUGACAAGCCUUUUAUGGUCAAAAUCAUCAGAAACACAUACCCAUAUUCUCUUCUCAAAGUGAUCGCUUAUUUGUCGAUCAUUAUAGACUAAUUGCGCGAGUGUCGUCUUACCAAGCCCUCCCAUCCCAACAAUUGUUAUGAUCCCGAGAUCACCUCCAGAUGUGUCCACAAGAAAUUCGACGAUCUUUUUCUUAUCUUCUUCCCUACCAUAAACUUCCGAUUCAAUUACGAAGGAGCUAGUUUCUUCUCUCACCACAUUCUCUUGCCUACAGCAUGUUACUACACAUCUCUCUUGCAAAUGAAACUUAGAUCUCUCCUCUGCAAGCUCAUCUAGUCUCUCCCUUAUUUCCCUUAUCUCCCUAGCUAUCUUUAACUGAAACAUAACUGAGUUAGGCAAUGACAGCACUUUACUUACCGUUCCCUUCAUCCAGCUAGUGGUACUGCUUUCCGGAUCAGUUAAACUCCUCUUUCGGUUCCUGGUGAAGUCCUCGUCUAGCAGAUCGUCGAUAUCGUAGGCCACAUCUUUGAGGCGUCUCAGCCACCCUCUGAGGGCCUUCUCCUGCACUUGCCUCUCCUCCGCAUCCUCAAGCACGUCGCGGAUGAUGGAGAGGGUGCCCUCCAGCUUCUUCAGCUCGGCGCCGAUGUCCCUCAGCCAACCAAACUCGUCGACUAUUUGGUUCGGCAGCCUGUCGAGCAAGGAGCUGAGGAUGCCGGAAGCCACAACGUCGGUCAUUGUGUUUUGAUGGUUCGAUAAUCCUUUCCGUGGUCAAUAAAUUGCUUCUCCGCGGUUAUGUGGACUACCAACUUGAUGGAAAUGUGAAGGAAUAUACGAGGUGGCAUUGGUAGAAUUUUUUUUUUUUUUUUUUUUAAUUAAACAGGGAUCCACCCUAUUUGGUAAAGGAGGUACAAGCAGAGUAGACAAAAAGGAGUCUUGUUCAUUGGAGAACAAGGAGAGUACAAAUGAGAAAGAGUGGAAGAAACAGAGUAGUCGAACAAGGAGAGUACACUGUUCGGCAUUGGUAGAAAUUUAGGACCACUGCUUUUAAGGAUGUUUUCGAGAAGUUCACACUGACAGUUGACUUGACCUUGUUAGUCCCAUAUAGACGGUAACAGUUGACUUGAUCUUGUGAGUCCCAUAUAGAUGGUACACACUAUGUAUAAGCCAUAGAAUUAGGGGUGGCACUUCGGCCAUUAUUUGCGAGUCAGCUAGUGUUUGGUUUGAGAUGAGUUUGAGAUCGAAUUGCUCAUUUAGUAAACGAGCCGAACACAAGUUGAAUUUUUCAACUUGUAUAAUGAAUGACUUGAACACGAGAUGGGGUCAACUCGUUCGUGAUCGGCUCGAUAACAGCUCGAAUGCAUAUAUUUUAUAUUUAUAUAAUAUAUAUAAUUUUAUAUUUGUAUAUAUAAAUAAAUAAUUAUAUAUAUAUAAUACAUAUUUUUAUUAUUUGAUUUUUAGCUCAACCUAAAUAUAAAACACAAUUUAAUUAUAAAAUUUCAACCAUUAGAUCAAAGUCUAAUAGAUAAGACAUCAUAAAUUUAUUUUCUAUAUAUAUAUUCUUUCUAAUUUUUUUAUUUAUUGUUUAUGAGCCGGCUCGUGUUUGGCUCGUUAAUAGACGAGUCGAACACGAACUGAAUUUUUCAGUCCUAUACUGUAACGAAUCAACUCAUGUUUGGCUCAUUUAUGAAACGAGUCGAACACGAGCCCGCCUCAGCUCGCCCAUAUUCGGCUCGCCAACAGCCCCUAUAUAGAAUCUACGGACAAGUUAAUUACACAAUAUUGACUCACAUGGUAUCACAUUCUCUGCUUCAGAGUGCUUCAAAACAUUUUGGAAAUUAUAUAGAGUAUAUAUCUUAUAUUCAUAAGUUUUUGGAUUAAAAAAAUGCUCUCGACUUUCUGCUAAAAAUAAAUUGAUCAGACAUAGUUAAUGGAUCCUAAGUAUCUAUAGCGUAGAGGCCGACCGUUCCUAGAUCAAGUGGCAAAGGAUUUGGUGGUUGGUAUCCGAGGUCUUAAAUUCGAAUCUUAGUUGAUUCAUAUUUUCAGCUAAGUUUAUUUCUAAAUAAAAUAAACAAAACGAGUAGAGUACUGCCUAUCUCUUAAAAAAAAACUAUCUAUAGCGUAGAGUGUUUAUCUUAUACCUAGAUUUUUGGCGUACAAAUAACAUUACUUAAAAUUUUUUAGGUUAAUUGCAACCAUGGCCCUUGGCCUUCGUUUAAAUACUUAUUUUGGUCCCUAAUAUUGUUUUUGUUUACAAUUAGAUUCUUAACUUUUAUGGUUAAUUGCACCCUUAGGUUCCGUUUGGUUCGAAAAUUAGUUGGAAUUAGUUAUAUCAGUGAUAGGUAUAAGUAUGAGUUUUUGUAAGGAUAAGGUUUUUUUUUUUUGGAUGAAAAUGUGAGUAUAAACUGGAACUAGAAAAAUUGUGUUUGGAUGAUUAUUGAGAAUAAGAGGAAUAGUUGGUAGUCAUAAAUAGAAAAUAAUGAUAUUACUCCUAUAAUUAAAUUUAAAAUUUAAAAUUUUAAACUUAUAAUUUUAAAUUGAAAAUUUUAAUUUUUAAAUUUAAUUAUUUUAAUUCACUCUGAAAUUAAACAUUAAAAAUUUUUAAUUUCAAAAUUAAUUUAAAUAUCAAAUUUUAAAUUUAAUACGGCAAAUUUAAAUUGUGAAAGAUAUAACGAAUAUCAAAUUUAAAUUUAAAAACUAAAAUUAUCACAUUUAAAUUUAAAUUUAAAAAUAUCAAUUUAAAAUUUAAAUUUUAAAAUUUAAUUUUAAUUUAAUAAAUUUUAAAUUUCUGAAGAUUAUAAUUUUUACAACAUUUAAAUUUAGAUUUAAAAUAUAUAUAUCUUCUCUCUUCUACCCGGCAGAUAUUCGCACCACUGGGGUGGGAACAGUUCGUUCCCAACCCAUGAACCGGUAGGGUACUUGGGUGGAAAUAACUUGUUACCACACCCACCCAAAUAGUGUGUUUGAGUAGCAAAAGCGGGAUCAAUCCUAAUCUAAUGCUGUGUUUGAAUUGGGUAAAACAAGAGGGGAGGAUAAGGGGGUUAUCCGCCCUCUUGUACCGAACACCAUUUGGGUGAGUAGAGCGAACAUACUAUUCCACCAGGGGUGGGAACACCCCCGGAUAGAGAGAGAGAGAGAGAGUAGAGAGAGUAAUUUAUUUUAAAUUUAAAUUUAAAUUUUUUAAAAUUUAUAUUUUAAAUUUUAUUAAUUUAUAAUUUAAAAUAAAUUUGAUGUUAAAUUUUAAUUUUGAUAUUUUUAAAUUUAAAAUUUUAAUUUGAUAUUUUUAGUUUUUAAAUUUUAAAUUUGAUAUUUUAUAUCUUUCAAAUUUAAAUUUGGUCUUAAAUUUAAAAUUUGAUAUUUAAAAUUAAAAUUUUGAAAAUUAAAAUUUUAAAUUUUAAUUUCAGAUUUUAAAAUUUAAAAGUUAAAAUUUUUAAUUUAAAAUUAUAAGUUUAAAAUUUAAAAAUUUAAAUUCAAUUAUAGGGGUAAUAUUAUUAUUUACUAUUUAUAACCAUCAACUAUUUCUCUUAUUCUCAAUAACCAUCCAAACACAAUUUUUUUAGUUCCGGCUUAUACUCAUAUUUUUAUCCAAACAAAAAAAUACUUUUGUUCUUAUAAAAAUUCAUACUUGUACCUAUCCCCGUUAUAACUAGUUCCUACUAAUUUUCGAACCAAAUGAAGUUAGUCUCUAAACUUUACAAAUUUUUUCACUUUGGUAACUUGGUUUGUAAUUAAUCUCUUCUCCUAUAUGCAUAUCCCAUCAUAUCAAGCCUAAUUUUACCCCUCUCGAUAUCGUCUUCUAUACCUACAGCGAUCUCGACCUUGUAUAAGACAUUAAUUAUGUUUUUCAGAGUAUUCAAUAGCUUGAUGAAGUUAGUGAAACUACCUAAUUCUUCCAAAUACUUAAAAAAGUUGGUGUUUAAAUUGAACAAAGUUAUUUGAUUAUUAUCGUGGUUUAUAUGAUGAGACAAAACAGACAUGUCUUAUUUUACCAGAAUUAAUAAGAAUUUUUAUAUGAUUGGACCUAACUGAAAUAAUAUACAAUUAUUCAGAUCGCAAAACAAAAAAGAUAGAGACCAAAAUUAAAAAAAAGAAAAAAGGUUGAGAGCCAAUUGUUCACAAUCUAAAUGAAUGAAGUCGUAGCAUGCUACCUAUUUUUCAAAAAAAAAAAAUCUUUUUUUGAGUGUACAAGUUCCAUUUCUCUUGCUCAUCUAUCAUGUUCAAACCUUAGUUAGUUAAUUCGCAUGUAAUACGCGAAUAAUUCGCGACUAAUUGGAAAAACGUUUAAAACGUCCCGUCUACGAAUUUUUUCGAAAAAAUUGGAAUAAAACGUGUUUUUUUUCCAUACUCAAAAUAUUUGCGAUCAAAACGGUAUUCGCGAAUUAUAUUCGGAAAAAUUCUGAUUUAGCGGCGGUGAAACGAUGAAAUUUUUCAAAAAAAAUUGGAUUGGGCUGCCGUGGAGAUGUAAUUUCUCGAACGGGCGUCGCACGACCACCGCUCCGCAGAUCCGUACAUCUUUCCCGAGCAGUCGGGCAAUUUUGCUUCUUCUAUUUUGAAGAAACCAUGGAGAUGCAGCAAGCGGACACGGAGCAAGCGAAGAAGAAAAGAGGUGGGACAAGGGCGACGAAAAUCACGGUGCACCGUGUUGGGAAGAAGGGUGGUCCCCGAGGACUCAGCCUCGUGGACCGCGUGGGGUGGACACACCGCGUUGGGAAAAAGCGCAGUCCACAAAGUUGAGUGCAGCCUCGUGGACGCGUGGGGUGGACGCACCGCGUUGGAAAAAAGCGUGGUCUAUAAGGCUCACUCAACCUCGUGAACUGUGUGGAGCACUCUCCCUUUGUGUUUAACUGUUUAUACUAGUAAAUUACCCGCGCGAUGCUGCGGAUAUAAAAUAUUUUAAUAAUAAAUUUUAAUUAAAAUAUUCAUAUUAUUUUAAUUUUUAAUUAUUAAUUAUAUAAAUUUAAAAAUAAUUUGAAUAAAAAGAAUGUAAAUUGGUUUAUGUGCUACAAAAUUUUUUGUAAGAACUUGCAAGUAACUAAAUAAUUUUAUAAAGAAAUAUAUAAGCAAAAAAUUAUUAAAAAAUUCAUAAGAAAAAAAGGUUGUUGGGAGAAGCUCUUUUAGUCUUCAACUCUUCAUACAUAGGAAAAGAAAAAUUUUCUAUAAGAUUCACUAUUCAAGGUUCUAUAAGGUUUCACCAUUUAAACUAAAAUAUAAUUUAAUAAAUAUAAUCUAUAUCAUAUAAAAAUACAUUUGUAAAAAAUAUUUGAUCAAAUUUUGUAUAAAUUUUAAUAAAUAUUUUAUUUAGUUAACCAAAAUUAAUCAUAAAAAGUUAAAAAAAACUAUAAAAAUCAAUUAAAAAAUUAAAUUUGAGCAGUCUAUUGCAAAGGGUCUUAAUAGUUGAGAGGGUCCUCACAUUUUUUUUGCCAAAACAUCUUUUGCUAAAAAUGUAUAGAAACUUCCUAAACUUUUAAUUUUUUAAUUAAGGUAAUUUUAUCAAAAAAUUUAUAAAUUUUGUUAAAUUCAUUAGUAAUUUCGUUAGAUUUAGAAUUUUAAUUUUUUUUGGUCAUUUUAAUGUAACUAAGCAUAAAAAUUACAGUAAGAAAUAAAACUUGAUUGGGUCUUAAUUCAAAAAAAUUAUAGUUGGGGGUUAUCUAUAUAUGUUUAUUUAUAUUAAAGGAAAUGAUACUAUUUGAUGCACCAAGUGUAUAAAUAAAUUUUGUGCACUUUAUUUUUGAAAAUCUGAUAUAAAAAUUUAAACUCUAGUAAAUUUUGAUAUAUAGACAUUUUAUAUAGAUAGGUCGCAUUUAUAAAAUUAUAUUUUAAUUUAAUAAUACUAAUUAUAAAAAGUUAGGAUUAAUAUAUGUAAUAUUUAUAGACCUAAUUAUAAAAAGUUAGGAUUAAUAUAUAUAAUAUUUAUAGACCUAAUUAUAAAAAGUUAGGAUUAAUAUAUGUAAUAUUUAUAGACUGGGUGCGGGCAAAGUUUUUCUAUAAAUAAAGAGUGGGUAGGGAAGAAAUCAUUCGGGUCUAUACUUGUAUUUAACAUCAUACUAAUAAAUCCAUAUUGCUGGAACUUAAAGCCUAUAAUAUUUUGUACAUAAACUUAUUAUAAAAUGUAAAUUAUAUUUAUUAAAUUAUAUUUAAUUUUAAAUUGAAAAAAUAGAUUUGAUGUAUAUUAUAUUUGUGUAGAUCGGGUGCAUGCAAUUUUUUUAAAGAGAGACAGAAGAGCUUUAGGAGGACACUUGUCACCUCCUAAGGGCCUUGAGGUGACCCAACUCUCCUUUAAUGGAGUAGUAAAGUAAUAGAAGUAAUAUAUAUAUAUAUAUAUAUAUAUAUAUAUAUAUAUAUAUAUAUAUAUAUAUAUAUAUAUAUAUAUACUAUGCUAUCGGAUGCAUUGAGGAUCUGAUGCUUCCAACUUUUUGACCAUUGAAUUAAAAAUUAUACGGUUGGGAUGAUUGCGGUCCUCUAGAGUUGAAUUGUAUCCCUAGGGUUGAGUUGUCCCCACAUGGUAAUAGUAUUAAUCCAAAAAUUAGAAAUGAUCAAAGGAGUUGAUCUAAGGGCCAAAAAAUCGAAAGCACCAGAUCCUCUAUGCUUCCGAUAGCAUCGCAGCUUUACUAUAUAAAUAGAGAGAGAGAGAGAGAGUGAGGCUACUAUGCUUCUGGAAGCAUAGAGCCUUUUGUACUUUCAGAUCGUUUUCGAUGUUGCGGUUUUCGAAUCGUCGAUCGGCUCUGUUAAACUUGAUCUAGAGUAUUUGAAGUACUUAGAAAAUAAAUUUUAUAAUUUUUCGAUAUCAUUUGCCUAGUGAUCGAAGGGACUCAAAUCAUUAAUUUUAAUGGCCGUGGUGAGCCGUUUGCAAGUUUAACGGCGUAGAAAUAUCCAAAUCACGUGAAAUUUUGAUAGAAAAUUCUUUAUACUAUAUAAAAUAAGAUCAAUAUCUUUGAACUAAAAUUUUAAUGUCAUAUUAUCACGUUUUAUAAGAUUUUUAUUUUCAGCUGUUGAUUUUGAACCCCUUAGUUCACUAGGCAAAUGAUAUUGAAAAAUUACAAAAUUUAUUUUCUAGAUACUUCAAAUACUCUAGAUCAAGUUUAAUGGAGCCGAUCGACGAUUCGAAAGUCGCAACAUCAAAAACGACCGUGCUUCUAGAAGCAUAGUAGCCGCACUCUCUCUCUCUCUCUCUCUCUAUAUAUAUAUAUAUAUAUGAGUCACAUUGCUAUACUCUUAUGAGUACGAUCGCUUCGUACUCAUAAGUCGUUUUCGAUGAUAGAGCUUCCGAAUCGGCGAUCCAUACCAUAAAACAUUAUCUAGAGCAUUUAAAACUUCUAAAAAUUAAAUUUCAUAAUUUUUCGACAUCAUUUACCUUACGAUCAAAAAGUCACAAAAUUGACAAUUUUUAACGACCGGUAUGGGAUACUUGCUAGUUUAACGGUGUAAAAGAAUCGAAAUAGGUUGAAUUUUUGAUAGAAAAUUUUAUUCACUAUCUAGAUAAAGAUGAAUAACUCCGAUCUUAAAUUGAAGAGUCCGAUCAUCUAUUUUUAGGACGUCGUUUAAUUUUGACCAUUCAUUUUAUGCCCGCUUGAUGGACUUUAUUAUGAUUUCGAAAAAUUACGAAAUUUAUUUUCUAAAAAUUUUGAAUACUCUAGAAUUUUUAACGGUGUCAGAUCAUCCAUUUUUAGGAUGUCGUUUAAUUUUGACCGUUCAUUUUAUGCCCGCUUGAUGAACUUUAUUAUAAUUUCGAAAAAUUACGAAAUUUAUUUUCUAAAAAUUUCAAAUGCUCUAGAUCAUUUUUAACAGCGUGAAUCGUCGAUUCGGAAGCUCUAUCAUCGAAAACAACUUAUGAGUACGCAGGGCUCUAUACUCGUAAGAGUAUAGUAGCCCUACUCUCUCUCUCUCUCUCUCUCUCUCUCUCUCUCUAUAUAUAUAUAUAUACACACACACACAUUAUUUUAUAUAUUAUUUUAUAUUAUUUUAUUUUUAUAUUUGUAAGAAUUAUAAUUAUUUAUGAUAAUAGCAUAAUUCUAAAGAAAAAUAAUAAUUUAGUAGACGAAUUUUUAUUUCUAAUUUUUAAAUAAUAAGAGUAAAAUUCUCGUAUAAAUCGCGUAUAUGAAGUAUUAACGAAUUCGAUUUUUAAACCGUAUUUUUUAACGAAUUUAAAAAUUAAGAUAUAAAUUUUAGUCGUAUUUUAUCCGUACCGAAUUUUUACCGUAUCCGAAUUAACUAACUAUGAUUCAAUCAGGAAAUAUGUACAAUAAUCACGACAAUUAUGACUUAGAAGUUUUUAACCUAUGAUGUUGACCAUCGAGGUUGGUUUACUAUAUCUUUUAUUAUUUACUGUAAUUAUGUUGGCCAACACGACCCACAGUUGCAUAUUAUGAAAUAAUACGAAAUAAUAUUGUACUUUAAAAGCUUAGCCCGAUAAAAAAUAAUAUUUAAAUAUUUUUAUAUUUAACAUUUUGUUCCACGUUUGGUCUUGAAACUUUUUGUAAGAUCAAGACUGAACUUUAAUUAAAUUUAAAUAAAAAAAAUUAAUAAUGCUAGGAGCCAUGGGGUACUAUUUUGACCACCAGAGUAAUCCCAAUGUGAUAAAAAGGCGGAGUUAAUCGAGAACUAAGGAUAUUCCAGAAGCAUCACCCAUUAAAUUUAAAGCAAAAAAAAAAUCUUUCGCUCGUUUUUCUUUUGGAAGAACAGUAGCAGCAGGUGAGCACUCCUCUUCCACACUGUUCUCUGAUCUGAUGGGAAGAGGGGGUUGGCUAUUGGUCUCCUGGGUCUAAGGGAGGUUGCUAUCCACCUAAUCUUAUCUUGGUCCAUGAAUAAGCACUAGCUCACGCAUGUACUCGCCGCACCUUUUGCCUUCCCCCACCUCACCCCUAAAAUAAUAUUUUUUUGAUUAAACAGGAAUAUACCUUAUUUGAUAAAGAGAGUACAAGUUUAGACUGCAAAGUUUAGCUCGGCUUUGCCCAAGUAGGGUCAGUAAGCUAACUUGUGAAGAUACAUCAGAAUCAGUAAUAAAAGCUGGUAGAAUCAAACAAUCGAGCACACUAGGACCCCAGGAUAGACUUCCAGAGCUUAACAACUGAGACAACAGUCGUUCCCAAUUCUCAUACGUAGAAUGCCGAUUACUGAAGAUUCUUGCAUUCCGCUCUUUCCAAAGUUCCGAACAGGCUCCAACAAAGUAAAGGUUGAAAAGUGUUUUUGCUGCUGCCGCCAAGGACUCUCUACCUCGCGUCCAUCUAGUCGAGGUGUCUCCAACUCGAUUGACCGUUAACUACCUCGCGUCCAUCUAGUCGAGGUGUCUCCAACUCGAUUGACCGUUAAUUCAGCAGUGACUGGGGUGCUAGAGAGGAGUCGGUUCCACAGAGACCUUGCAUAGUUGCAUCGAAAGAGGAGGUGAUCCAGGUUUUCUUCGUUGGCGGAGCAUAACACGCGUAUGGAUGGUCCCUGUCAACCUCGUUUUGCUAGUGAAUCAGCUGUCAAGAUCCUGUUCCCCGUUACUAACCACAUGAAAACUUUAAUCCCGGGUGGGAUCUUUAGUUUCCAAAACUGAGGUGAUCUGCAGUCAUUCACUCCACUGAAUGCGAAGAAGUCAUAAGCACUCCGUGUCGAGAAAUGGCCAGCUGAGUUCCACCUCCAGACAAUGGCAUCUUCUGAUUCCCCAUGUAAUGUAAUGUUGGAAACUAAGGCUUCCAGAUCUUGGAGUUCUUCUUGUGCUGCGGUGCUGAAAGGUGACCUGAACCCCAGCGUAGAGUGCGUGGCGAAGCGUCGAAACCAACAUUUGACAGAAGUCUGCUUAUGCACCGAUAUAGCAUGUAAUUCUGGAAAUUGCUUUUGCAGCGAAAGUUCUCCAUACCAUCUGGAAUUCCAUAAGGAUGUUACCUUUCCAUUACCUAGAGUAAAGUUAAUCGAAGUAGAGAACGCAGCAGCUGUGCUGAGCAUCGCCUUCCAAAUUGGGGAGCAACCAGUUGGCUUAGAACGAUCAAGCCGAGGUGGUCUAUGUUUGUAAUGUUUCAGCCUAAGUAACCAGACCCAAGGGAGAGAUGAAGAGUUAUAGAAUUUUCAGAGGCCCUUCAUUAAAAGGGCCGCAUUAGUGUGGCGCAUGCUUCGAAUGCCAAGGCCGCCUAAUAGCUUUGGGCAACACACAUUCUCCCAUUUGACUAAACAAUGAAAGCCAUUAGUAAGCUUUGCACCCCUCCAAAAGAAUCCUCUGCGUAUCUUGUCAAUCGCCUUUGUUACCCAAAUUGGUAGUAGGAAGGUAGAGCAAAAGUAGGUGGGUAUAAUAGACAGGACGGAAUUGAGCAUAACAAGACGACCCCCCCCCCUUCCAACCUGCAGUCUGUUGUCACAUUCUCUCCCCUAAAAUAAUUUGAACAAAAAAAAAAAAAAAAAAAAACUAAAUUAGGAGGUUAAUUUAUUUUGUAAAAUAUAAUCGGAAUCCCUUGGGCACAACUGUACAACAUGUUUGGUCAAUUGUUUCAAACAUUCUUAAGAUUAUUUUGUUUGCUAUCUCUCCAUUAUCUUGGUUCCAAACAAGCACUAGGUCAUGCAUAUAUGCAAUCACUGCACCUUUCCCCCCUAAUAAUAAUAAUAAUAAUAAUAAUAAUAAAAGAAAAAAAAUCUAAGAUGUUAUUUUUGAAGAACACAUUUCGUACUCUUUUGAAAGUGUAGAGGUUUUUAUACUUAUAAGUUGUUUUCAAUGGUGCAACAUUUUCGAUAAUCAAUUCAAUUAGGCAUGAUGUAUAUAUUAUUAUUAGAACUAUUUGAAAAUUAAAUUUCAAAAUAGGGUACAUCCCUGUUUAAUCAAAAAAAAAAAAGAAAAUCAAAUUUCAUAAUUUUUCGAUAUCAUUUAUCAAAUGAUCAAAUAAUUUAAAAAAUAACUAUUUUAUUAGCUAAUGUGGCGAGUUUGCAAAUUCGAUGGUAUAAAACAAUCGAAGUUAUGUGAAACUUUAAUAGAAAAAUCUAUAUAACAUCAGGAUCAAUACUUUCGAUUUGAAAUUUAAGUUUUUUAUUUCUCUUCAUUAGUCAAACUUGUUCUAGCUAAGUCUUGAGCUAAUAUGAGCCAGUAGGCCACAUAAUUUGCAACUAUGACCACAACUCGGAUCAAAUCGCCCCCAAAGUACCUCUUUAACUCUUCUGAGUAGAAGUCCUGACAAGCUCAAAUUCUCCUCCGAUAAUGCUUUACGAAAUUCUUUCAAGUGUUGCAUUCGGUCCAGCAUAACGCAGAGUGCCUCGAGGACUUCUCUUGAUUCGCAAAAAUGUUUUGAUUAGAUCUUGCCUACUAGUUUCCUUCCUCAUAAUCUCCAGCUUAUACAUAGUUGGUCCUCAAGUUUUAAGUCCUUUGAGCUCCCAGAAUACGAACUUCUCAGCAAGCGCAACAAGCCGUAGUCUUCAAAGACAGCAGCACAGCAUUCUACUCGCGAAGGCAUGGUCGUCAAGUCACGGCAACCACCAUCCAUAAUAAUAUAUGGUUGAGUUGUCAUGCUUUUCAUGCUCACUGGUAGCUUGUCAAUGAGCUCGUCUAAAGCGUGACAACACCAUAGAUUGAUCGAUCGAAGAUUGGAGAGGUGACAAACAGUUUCAGGUAACUUUUGGACUCCAGAAAAUGAUAGGUCUAAGUGUUGCAAGCUCCUUAGAUUACCGGUCGAACUUGGUAGGGAAAAAAGGCUCUUGCAGGAAGAAAGGUUCAAUGUUAACAGAUUGGAAAGGUCACCAAUGGAUUCUGGUAGUUCUUUUAAAGAUUCGCAUAGCAUUAGGUUCAAAAUCUGUAGAUUUUGGAGGGAGCCGAUGUCGAAUUUGACACUUCCGGGAACCCGUGUUCGUACAAUUAUCCGGCGAUAAUUGUGUAGUGGUGUUAUCUUGUGUUUGCUGCCAAAACAUCCAAAUUGGAGUGUUUUAGGGCAGUAGGUGACUCGUGACAAGAGUCGGUGAGUUUCGGGACACUUAGUGGGUCCCGACGGCGUCCCGGUGUGGUUUUCGGGACUUCCGGCGUAUUACGACGAUCGGUUUGGGAAACCGAUUCUCGUGGGUUUAUUUGUGGGUUUAUGCUUUUAGGGUUUCUUAGCUAUGGGUUAGACACUAACCCAGUGGACCCUCCUUAGGUCCUGUGUGACAUUCUUUGCAGUCAGGAGACAGCCGGAACAGUUUGUCGACAGGUGGGUACUUCGAUCCGAUCUGUCGUACAGUGGUGCAGCCCAUCGGUGAUGGUUUCUUACCUUGCCUCCUUUGUUUAUUAUCAUGCAUAUGUUAUAUUGUUGAGCUUUGUCACUCUAUUGAUUACAUUACACCCACGUCUGUUGAUUAUACUCUAACUCGUGUGUUUGGCAUACUUAGUAUCAUGAGUAGGAGUAGAGUGGUUCUAUCCGCAUUCGUAUCUGUUGACUCAGUUUGGUCUGUUGUGCAUUCCGUAUUGUUGACCUAGUUGGUCUGUUUGUGCAUUCCGUAUCUGUGACCUUAGUUGUCUGUUCUACCAUUCUCUACUCCAGUUAUUUCCAUAUUGAUAUCAUACUUAGGAUAGUAGUUGACUUUAUCUGCUUACUAUAUCUGUGAUUUGUUGGCGAGUUCCCUCAUUGUGGAUAUCUAUGACCUAUUCGGAUCGAGUUGCUGACAGUUCACUAAUAUCUGUGAUUUGGCUUGGGCGGUUCCCGCUAUUGUGAUAUCUGAUGACCUAAUUCGGUUUGAUUAUGCUACAGUUCUAUCCUGGACAUACGUAGGCCGAUAUUGCUUGAUCGGCUAUUCGUCGGUGGCCCUGAGAGGCUGGAUCUGUCGGUAGUUGCCGAUGGAAUGAUCCUUUUGAGCCAUACUAACAUUGAUCGCCACUGCAGAUACGCAUUCACGAACACCAAAGCGGCUUAAUCCACCGCAAGAGGGUCGUUCUUUUCCCGGAAAAAGUGGUUGGAAUUGCCAACCGUGAGUCCCAGGGCUUUAUUGCGAGCGGUAUAUGCUUCUGACGCCAGGGCUCGUCAUUUGCGUAGGAGUCAGGUACUGAUGCUUCUGACCCAGGGCUUCUAUUGCGAGCGUCAGGUACGUGGCUUCUGACCAGGGGCUCAUUGCGAAGGUCAGGGUUACUGUACUUUGACCAGGGGCUCAUUAGCGAGGGUCACGGACAGGUUGACAGUGUGGCAUGGGCCUGAAAGGUCUUCGGACAGAUAGCGCGCGAGAUUUGGUACUUUUGAGCUUAUCUGUCAGUUGACGCCUGCAUACAGUGACUGUAUGUUUAUUUUCGAAAGUAACAUCUCUAAUCUUGUUAUUGAGCUACUGUAUUUAUUUUAGCUGCAUCUAUACUUGUCGCUCCUUAUUACUUUCAUGCAUCUUACUGUACACAUUAUGUCUAUCUAGUUCUACGUGUUUGUUGUGAUAGCUCUUCCUGAUCUGGGUGAGUAUCCAUAGCUUACAUCGCUCUGCGUAUCCAGGGAGGGGAGACAUGUUUACAUGUUCUCACCUCCCCACAUUUUUCAGGUAUCUGCGGGCGUGAGGGUUGAGACGAGGCUGAGGUACGCGUGUAGCGGUCGAUAGAGCUUCCGACCCAGGUUAUUCGGUUUAUUUUUACCCUUCUUAUUUCGGUUGAUGUUAGUUUAGUUGGUUCAUGUGGUUCAGUGUUCUAAUUUACAUUUGAAAAUGUGAAUUUCUGAAUUUUGUAAAAUAAAAGGUUUCUUACCACCGGGUAGCGUUUUAAAAGAUAAAGGUUUCCGUUGUAGGAAACAGUUUUCAAAAGAAUUUUUCGUGAAUUCUAUUUAAACAUUGAAUGUAAAACUGUGAUGUUAAUGGUGAAUGUAUGAUGUAUAGGUAUUCUUUUAUAUCUCAUUUGGUUGUGUUGUUUCCUGGCUAUACUCUUGUACUUGUGCGACGCGUGCAAAUACAGGAGAACUCUGUCGCGGUGAGCAGUGGAUUCCCUGUAUUUUGUGCGGAUCUGGCAUACCCUGGGAUCAGGUUUCCAAAAAAAAAAAAAAAAAAAAAAAAAUCGCUGUGUUUUAACCUAAAAGGGACCCCGAGGCGUGACACUAAACGAAAGGAGGAAAGGAGACCAGUUUUGGGCUGUGAGCUUGAGGAUCCAAGCAUGUCCGUGGGUGAUGGGCAUGAUAAUCGAAAAAGUCACACAAGAAGAAAAAUGAAGGGUGAAACAUCAUCAUUCUCGCAAGAAAAAUAGAAGGGAGGCCAACGGUCAUUCUCAGGUUGACCAAAUCAACCUGCGUACUCUUUCUGCAAUAUUGUGAUUAGGACUUUCCCUAAGACCUCUAUUGUGGUUCAAAAACUAAAUUUUAGAAAGUAAUAGGGAAGUCUAAUAUCAUAAAUACCCUUCUAAAAAAAUAUAUUAUAAAUAAUCUUCCAAAAAAGAGAAACUUUUAAAAAUAACCUUUACACUGAAUUACAGUCAAUUUUGAAUUAAUGGUAAAUAAAAUUCCAACUUUACUCCUAUUGUCAUUACCAUCUUAAAAUAUUUAAUUGGCUAUAAAAUCAUAUAUGAUUUUAUAAACACCCUUUUAAAUUUAUAAAUAACCUACAUUAAGAGAUAAAAUUUUGUCAAUUAAAAAAAUAUAUAUAACCUGACAAGUUAAACUAAAAAAAUAUAAAAAUAAAAAAGUCAAAAAAUAUCAGGCAAAAAAUUCUUUAAAGUAUUAGUUGACUCAUAAAAAUAAGGUUAAGCACUUUAUUUAAAAUAUAACCUAAAUAUAUAUGCAUGAUGUGAACUAAGUUAUUUGAACAUGCACGGAUUUCUGUGCUUUGGCAUAUAGAAUUUUAAGAUUUUCACUUUAUUUCAAAAGAAAAAAUUGCGUAAGAUUUGAUUUCAUACAACAAAAGAAGUUCCACUUUUUGCUCUAGGUUUUCUAUCUUAAUUUUUCAUAUAAAUAUGCUGUUAAAUAAAAGAGGAAAAUAUAUGCUCACCAUACAGUAAUAAAAUGAUGUAUUUUCCUCUGUAUUUUAAUAUUUUAAAAUAAAUAUUAUCAUGCUAAAAUACUUUUGUAAAGGAUUUUGAAGUUAAAGACAAAAUGGACAUUUCAACCACAUUUAUGAUAAUUAAAUAUAGGGAUAUUAAGAGUAUAUUUGAAAGAUAGUAAGUAUUUGUAGGGAUAUUAAUUUGUGAUAUAAUUAAAUUUAUAGUGGUAUCUAUGAUAUUUUUGAAGUUUAGAGAGGCACGAAUGAAAUUGACCCAAAAUAAUAUUUGCCAUCUUGAGAACAAGAGACAUUCUGGUAUAAGUUAGAACAAUAAUAAAUUUGUAUUUGGAUGUAUUUCGAGGGUAAAACUGUACGUAGACCCCAACACUUUGAAGAGAUCUGUUAAUUUGAGACUUAAAAAAAUAGAUAAAUAAUUUAAAUUAAAAAAUCUUUUAUAUUUUUAAUACUCUCAAAAUUGAUAGUUUAUUGAUUUUUUUUUUUUUCAAUUUAUAUACUUUGUUGCAUAACUUAUAACUAACUUAAUCUGCAAACUUAUUUUUGCUAAGCUUUAUAAUUGAAUUCAACAGUAAUUCUAAAUAGCUGGAUCCAUUUAACGCAAUUAUGGCAAAGUGCAGUACUAAUUAAUUAUUAUCUUUUUACGUAGAGUGUUCACGAGAUAUGAGAUAAAAUACAAAGGAUCUUUUUGUUAAAAUAAGUCUUUAUUUCACUGUAAUGCCCUAUUUAGAUACAUAAUAAAAAAGUUCCAUGGAGUUUAUAUUCUGUAAUUUUGGUUUGAAUGAAACAGAAAAUUCGGUAACUAUAAAAAAUUUUCAUAGCUUUGAUUUUAAACUGUUUGGAUACAUAUCAUAUAAUUUCAGAAAAACUCUAACAAUUAAAAUUUUAUGUAAAUUUAAAAUUUAAAAUUUAAAGUUUAAAAUUUAAAAAUUAACUAUUUUUGAUGACUCGUUUCCAGUUUGGAACUUUGUGUGUAUAGUGAAUUUGAUGGCUUUAUUUGCACAAUAAGAAAAUUGAAUUUGAUUUGAAUUUAGAAUAUACUAUUUUGAUUUGAAGUUAAAUAAUAUAAAAUAAUUGUUUUUCUUCAAAAUCUUCAACUACCAUAUAUUAGGAUUUUUAAUAUUAAUAUUCAACAAUCUCAAUUACCUAUUUGCACAAAAAAAAAAAAUUCCUUUAUCUCAUAAAGGCCGGCGCUGGCUACAGCGACAGAGGAGGAGGAGAGCGAGGGGCUCUUUGUUUAGAGUUUCAGUAGAUUAAGUAAGGGAAGAAGGGGAGAUGGUGAUCAAUUUUUCUUUUUUCUUUUUCUGUUUGUAUUUAGGUCGAAUAGGGUGGAUGGAAUGAGUUGAAUAGAGUAACAUUUUAUUUUUGGUUAGAGUGGACUUUAUAUUUAGGCCUUUGUAGUUUUUUUAAAAAAAUUUUGUAUAAAUGGAACACUUACAUAAAAAUAUCCAAAAAAUAUGUUUAUAUAACUAAUUCUAUUUUAGUGGCAAAGAAAAAAUUAGAAUAAUUAUUAAAGCUAAUUUUAAAUUGAAUAAAGGAAAUAAUAGAAUACAUAAGGGUGUAUUUGGUUCCGAAUAAAAUCAUCCUGUAACGAUCCAGCCCACUAGCAACAAUAACUCGUUGGGCCCAACAACCGGCCAAAAUGCUUAAGCUCAGUUACCGUUAAGGCCCUGACGUCCUCGUCAGUCCAAUCACACACACACAGUCCAAGAUCACCAAGCGAUGUGAGACUCGUCUCGCUAGCCCGUCAUCCAGACCCUGGCUCAGCCGAGACUCGCCACACAUGUCCAGCUGGUGAACCGGCUCUGAUACCAAAUGUAACGACCCAGCCCACUAGCAACAAUAACUCGUUGGGCCCAACAACCGGCCCAAAAUGCUUAAGCCCAGUUAUUAUUACUAGUGUCUAAGUCUCUUAUAAACCCAAUGACAACCCCAUUUCCAUCCGAUGUGGGAUUAUUGGGGUGUCACACACCCCGAAAUUUUUUUCAUUUGAAAAGUCAAAUUCCCGUGUUUCAUUACUCGUAAAAAUAUUUUCUCGAAUUCUUUUUUACAUAUUAUAAAGAGAAUGAGGGUUUUUGUUUCCCCUUGCUUUGAGAGGAAACACGCGGCGUUGAGCAUGCGCAACAAAAGCACACAGUUCACGAGGUCUGCUCCACCUAGUGGACCGUGUGAGAAAGGUUCACGGUGGACUUAUUUCUCUCAUUUAUAUAUACUAGUUGAGUGUACGUACAAAUGCACAUAUAUAAUAAUUAUUUUAAUAUAUUUUUAAAUCAAUAAAAAAUUUAUAAAUCAUAUUUAUUCAACAUUUAAAAUAAAAUAUUCUGUAAAUUUAUAUAUUAUAUUUUAUUAGAAAAUAUCUACAAUAUCCUAUAUUAUUCUUUUCUUUAUAUACAUUAAAUAUUUUUAUAUAUUUUUGGAUAUCUAAUAAAUCUAAAAUUUAAGUAAGUGUUUUAAACUAAAAGUAUAAAAAUUUAAUUGACAUUUCUUUCAAAAUUUAAAAUUUAAUUUUGAUCCAUUAUAUAAUUAAAUUUUUUAAUUGUUAAUUCAAGUUUGAUAUCAAAAAUCAAAAGUAAAUUUAAUUCACAAUUUAAACUCAAAUUUAAAUUUUAAUGUAAAAUAGAUGGAUAGAUUUAAUAUCAAAAAUUAAAAAUUUAAUUUAAUUUACGAUUUAAACUCAAAUUUAAAUUUUAAUAUAAAAUAGAAGAAUAAAAGUGCUAUUUUUUAAUAGAUUGAUCAUAACUGUUCAUUUUUAUUUCAAAUAUUUUUUAUUAAUUGAUCAUAACCAUUCAUAGAAUUGAAUUUAUAGAUUGGUAUAAAUAUUUUUUUAAAAAAAAUUGAUCAUAACCGUUUCGUUCUUAUUUGAGAUAACUUUUUACAAAUUGAUUAUAAAUUUGUACACCAUAUUAUUCCAAAAAUAUGAUUUACAAAUUUAUUAACCAAUCUAUCUUUUAAACUAUUUCCAUUGUAAUAUGUUGAUAGUUUCAAAAUUUAAAAUUUUAAAUAAUUUUAAAUUUUGAGUUGAAAUAUAGAUUUAUAAUAGAUAUUCUGGCAAAAAUUUGGAUAAGCAUGAAUUUUUUUCUAUUCUAGAGAUAAAAAAAUUUAAUAAACUUUGAAUUAAAAUAUAAAUUUACAAUAGAUAUCUUUCGGUUGGCAAAAAUUUGGAUAAAUAUUUUUGUUUCUAUUUUGGAGAUAAAGAGAAAUUAAAUGUUUGUUUCAUUACUUUAUUUAUUUUACGUGAGGAAAGAAGAAUCAUUUUUUUUUUCCGCCAAAAAAUUGGUAUGUCGAUAAACCGAAAUUUGAAAUACGUGCUUUUAUAUAUAGUGUAGAUAGAUAAAUAUAGAAAUAGAUAUAGAUUUUAUCAAUUAUAUAAUUAAAUUUUUUUAAUUGUUAAUUCAAUUUUGAUAUCAAAAAUCAAACAUUAAAUUUAAUUCACGAUUUAAACUCAAAUUUAAUUUUUAAUGUGAAUAGAUCGAUAAAAGAGCUAUUUUUUAACAGAUUAAUCAUAACCAUUCAUUUUUAUUUCAAAUAUUUUUAAUUUAUUGAUGAGUUUAAAUUUUUUUUUAACAAAUUGAUCAUAAAUUUGUACAUCAUAUUGAUUCAAAAAUAUGAUUUACAAAUUUAUUAAUCAAUCUAUCUUUUAAGUUAUUCCAUUGCAAUAUGUACAUAGUUCCAAAAUUUAAUAUUUUAAAUUAAUUUUAAAUUUUGAAUUGAAAUAUAUGUUUACAGUAGAUAUUCUGGUAAAAAAUUAGAUACGCAUGAAUUUUUUUCUAUUUUAGAGAUAAAAAAAUUAAACAAAUUUCAAAUUAAAAUNUCUGCCAAAUAAAGAGUCUGUCGAUAGACCGAAAUUUGAAAUACAGGCUCUUAUAUUUAGUAUAGAGUAGUUAUAGUGCACAUGCGAUAUACAUCAAAUUUAAUUAAAUUAAAUUUAUAUUUAUAUUUUAAAUUUAAAUUAUUAUUAGUGGUAUAUGUCUAUUUAUUAUUUAAUUUUUUUUCAUACUUUAGUUUAUUUCUAAAUAAGAAUUAUGUAUUUUUAAUUUAGUUAUACUGUAAAUAUUUUUCAUAUGUAUUUCAUAACAAGCAAAUUUUUAUUGAAUUUGAUCUUGAUUCAAAAUUUGAAUUAAUUAAAAAUAUUAAAUUAAUAAAUUCACAUUUAAAUUUAUGAACGAAACUCAAAAUUUUAAAUUUAUUUUGAUUUCAUAAUUAUAAUAUUAGUAGUUAUUGGAGAUAUAGAUCUAUUUAUCAAUUCACAGUAGAUAUUCUCUAAUUGGUAAAAAUUUGGAUAAGUAUAAAUUUUUUUUAUUUUAGAGAUAAAGAGAAAUUAAAAGUUUGUUUCAUUACAUUACUUAUUUUCCAUAAAAAAAGAGGAACCAAUUUUUUUUUCUAACUAAGAAAAUGGGUUUAUUGACCGACCGAAAUUUGAAAUACGUGUAUUGAUAUAUAAUAUAUAUAUAUAUAUAAUUUUUACUAUAUAUAUAAAUUAUACAAUAUUUUAUUUAUAAAUAUUAUUUAUUAAUUAUAUAGUAAUUAAUUUUAUAGUAUCGAUUAUAUAUACUAUUAUAUAUUAUAUUAAAUAUUUAUAGUAUAAUAUAUUUUAAAUAUAUUUUAUUUAUAAAUAUAAAUUAUAAUACUAAUGUAUGUAACAUGAUAAUUAUUAUAUAUCAAUAAUUAUAUAAUACAAAAAAUAAAAAAGUAUAUAUAAUUGUUUUUAUUUAUAUAUAUAUAUAUAUUUUUUACUUUUCAACCAAACAAUCGUAAUAGAAAUCUAUUUUUUUUCCUACAAAUUAAACGCAAUGUAAAACUUAUUAUUCUCCGAAAAUUAUUUUUUACUGAAAUUUUUCUUAUAGUUUUAUGUGAAAUCAAACAGCCCCUACGUAAAUUUGAUGGUUUUAUUUGCGGAUGAAGUAAAUUACGGUGUAGGCGAAACUGCAAGAGUUUUUUAUUUCAAGUUGGCCGGACAUUCCAUACAAUCGGAUAUAGUUAAUAUAACACUAUAGAAAAUGAGCAAUGAUUGGACUAGUAUUAGAAAAGUACCCACUAAAACACAUUUACUAAAUACAAAGUCAUAAAAUAGAAACUUGCAGAAGAACAAACAUUCUGACCAGCAAACAUCAACACAUUUUCUUAAUUUCUUUUAUGGCCAUUGUAUUGAUUGCCUUUUUUUCUUUUUCUUUUUUUUUGCUUGAGACCAAUAUAAGUAGUACAAUAUUCCAAAUCAAAAGGCUACCGGAAUUCCGAAAUGCGCCUAAUGAAGUCUAGAUCAUCAGCGUCCAUGGGAUCCCACCAGUAGAAGUUCAGACAUUUUACGAAUGUUAUGCGCUCCGCAAGAGUUUGUAGAACAGAUGGUCGAGCAGGGUCGUCAGAACUUGCCAAGUGCACAAUCUUGAGAUUUGGAAAUGCGCAGCGCGGCAGAGAAGAUAGCAGCAGCUCACUGUUAGCGCACAAAUAUAGCUGCUCGACGGAUGGAAAAGAUGAGGGCAAUUCUUUCAGUUUUGGGCAGUCUAGUAGCCUCAACUCCGACAAACGAGGAAAAGAUCGUUGCGCUGCUGACGCUUCACACCACCCCUCUAACUUGGGCAUGUGUUCUAAUCUCAAGUUCUCCAAUACUGGGAAUGCAUCAUCACCUGCACCAUAGAACUCUGAGUCCAGGCUCGUGACUGCUAGGAGAGAAACGAGAUGCAGGACUUUAAGAGCAGGCAACUGCCCAAGCGACGGAAGAGACUUGACAACAGGAAGCUUCUCGAGAGAAAGUGUCUCUAGGUUAUGCAAUUGACUUGUUCUUGGGAGGGCCUUACAUCUGAAACAAAAAGAUAAGUGAAGCAAAACAAGAUUUGGAAGACUGGACUCCAACCAUUUCGGAAAAAUUUUGCCCGGGUAGCGAUAUAUCCCCAAUAGGGUCAAAUUUUCGUGCGGUUGGAGGCCGUUGAGGACUUCUUCGGCUACCCCAAGUGAAUUGAUAAGACCUUGCCUGGCUUUUCCUUCUACCUCAGUGCGCACGCAGGCUUCCAUUUGCUUCUUGUAAGUAUCCAAGUCCCAUGCUAAUGAUAGUGCAUUAAGGCCAUCCAUUUCUAUUAAGUUAGCCUCUCUAGCCUGCUGGAAAUUCUUCACAUUUUCUAGGCUAGUAAUCAAUAGGAUGCCUUCAAGAUUAAGUCUGUUGAGCUCCUUGAGGCCGCACUCUCUCUUUUCGUAGACAUCAAAGAGCAGUAGGUCCCGAAAGUAGCUUGGCUGUGUAAGUCCAGCAGGCAUGCACGUUAAUCUAUGGCAAUGACCUGUGCGAAGACAUGUGAGAUUUUUCGCGUUCUUCUUGUUCUCUGAGAGCUUGCGUAGAAAGAGACAGUGUCCUAGAUUAAUUGAUCGAAGAUCUGAGAGGCAACAUAUGCUUUCGGGAAACCUUUUUAUUCUGGUAUUUGCGAGGUUUAAGGUCUGCAAACUCUUUAAAUGACCAAUGGAAUUUGGUAGGAAGACAAAGCUUGUGCAAUAUUCAAGAUUCAGUGCAAGUAGAUUAGAGAGAUUGCCAAUGGAGUCUGGUAAUUCUUUUAAAAAUCGACAUCCUUGUAGGUCCAAAACUUGCAGAUUCUGCAAGAAACCAAUAGAUUGUGGCAGUAUUUCAAGGUUUGUGUAUGACAAAUUGAGAUACCUUAGGUGUCUAAGAUUACUAAUUGAAUUUGGCAAUUCUUUGAUAGGGUAGUAUUUAAGAUAAAGUGCUCUUAGAAGCUUCAUACUAGAGAAAACAGUUUGAAGAAUCUUUAGCAUCAUAUCUUCCUUUCCUAUCUGCACAAAAGGAUGUGAUUUGAGGAAGUAAAAGGUUCUCAACUUUUUGGCUUUAUUGACAAUCUCUAAAACCGAUGGUAUUAUCUCUAUUGUGUAGAUAAAAGAUGAAUAACGUGUCGAAGGAUAUAUGUCUCUUCUAUUGACAACUUUGCCGAUGCUUGAACAUUCUUCACCUGAAACAAAUUGAGCGAGAUCAUGAACAAGAUCAUGAAUCACGACGGCACCUAUCAUAUGCCUAGGUUCCUCGAAAAGUGAUCUCGAUAAUAGCUCUUCAAUAUAUUGGUAACCCACGUCUUCCAAUUCCAUACUCUCGUUGAGUGACCGAACAAAUCCUUCAGCAAUCCAAAGUUGGAUCAGGUCCUUAAUUAUUAUAAUAGUAUCCUUUGGAAAUAUGGAGCAAUAUGCAAAGCAUUGCUUCAGGUGCGACGGCAAAUGAUUAUAACUCAACCUUAGAGCUGGUAAAAUCUCAUUCUCUUCUAACUUCCAACUAUCAUUGUCCCGAACAGCCAACCACUCACUUUCCCUUCUCUUAGAGCGCAUCAAGCUACCUAAAACCUUCGCUGCCAGCGGGACACCACCACAUUUUUUCACAAUCUCCUUUCCAAUGGUAACUAAGUUUGCGGUCUUCUCACAAGCACCUAUCCCAAAUGCUCUUCUCUCAAACAACAACCAACAAUCAUCCUCAGAUAAAGUCUUCAAAAAGUGUGGCUCCACCGUGGCCAUUACUGAGGCAACUCUACUACUACGGGUGGUCACUAUAAUUUUACUUUCGGUCGCACCAAUAGUUAGCAAAGUCCUAAAUUUGUCCCACUUCUCAUAAUUUUCAUUCCACACAUCAUCCAGCACGAGCAAAAAUAUUUUUUUCUCAAGCUCCUGUUUUAGUUUAGACUGCAUCGACGCCAUGCUUGUGAGAUCACAAGCAUUUCCCGUUGUAUGCUCUAUUAUCGAUCUGACAAGCCUUUUAUGGUCAAAAUCAUCAGAAACACACACCCAUAUUCUCUUCUCAAAGUGAUCGCUUAUUUGUCGAUCAUUAUAGACUAAUUGCGCGAGUGUCGUCUUACCGAGCCCUCCCAUCCCAACAAUUGCUAUAAUCCCGAGAUCACCUCCAGGUGUGUCCACAAGAAAUUCGAUGAUCUUUUUCUUAUCUUCUUCCCUACCAUAAACUUCCGAUUCAAUUACGAAGGAGCUAGUUUCUUCUCUCACCACAUUCUCUUGCCUACAGCAUGUUACUACACAUCUCUCUUGCAAAUGAAACUUAGAUCUCUCCUCUGCAAGCUCAUCUAGUCUCUCCCUUAUUUCCCUUAUCUCCCUAGCUAUCUUUAACUGAAACAUAACUGAGUUAGGCAAUGAUAGCACUCUACUUACCGUUCCCUUCAUCCAGCUAGUAGUACUGCUUUCCGGAUCAGUUAAACUCCUCUUCCAGUUCUUGGCGAAGUCCUCGUCCAGCAGAUCGUCGAUAUCGUAGGCCACAUCUUUGAUGCGUCCCAGCCACCCUCUGAGAGCUCUCUCCUGCACUUGCCUCCCCUCCGCAUCCUCGAGCACGUCGCAGAUGGUGGAGAGGGUGCCCUCCAGCUUCUUCAGCUCGGCGCCGACGUCCAUUACUUGACCAAACUCGCCUGUGAUUCGUUCUCUCAGUCUGUCGACCAGCGAACUCAGGACACCGGAAGCUACUACGUCUGCCAUUUUUUUUUUUUUGAUGUAAUCAAUCAAUUGAUCGAUCAAAAACUGAAUGAAACUAAGAUGAAUAAGACUAAACGAAAAGAGGAGAGGAGACCAAUUUUCUACUUCAGAGUAACUAUGUAAAACUAGAAUGGUCAAAUUGAACGAAAUUAAGCUCGAAUAAGACAAAAGGAAAGCAGGAAUGGAGGCCAAUUUUGUUCUGUAAAAAAGACUUUACUUGUGGGGGUGAUUGGCCUGAGAAUAUAAAAAGUCAUUCAUGAAAGAAGGAAAAUGGAAGGCGGCGAAGCAUCAUCAUUCUCACAAGAAAAAUAAAAGGGUAGCCAAAGGGCAUUUUCAGUUUGACCAAACCAACCUGCGUACUCCUUCCGCAAUAUUUGAUUAGGACUUCCUCAAUAACUAUCGCCGCCGCCGCCGACGACAACGCCACCAUCCAACAAGGGGGGGGCGCCCGCCUGGAAGCAAAGACGAAGGCUAGGAGUAGAGCACCGUUUGUUUUGAGUACAUGCAAGUGUACCCCAAACUAGGCAUCCUAAGUGGCUUUUUAAAAUUAAUUUUCUGUUGAAUCACAUUUGGGAUCAUAAUUUGGCGAGCUUUGUUAGUUACAUGCAAUAUUAACUCUAUUCAGGAAACGCAUGUGACUCUUUUGUUACUGUUACUCCUUUUGUUACUAAUUUUAUUUAAAUAUUUUGCUUUUUUUUAAAAAAUAAUAAUAAUAAUAAUAAAUCCUCACUUUUAACAAAUUAUCAGGAGCAUAAACCCUCUAUGAUGGGGGUGCAUAUAACUAUAUUACUAUUUUGAUUAACCUUUCACAUGUCCCAUUAUAUCAAGGUGACCGCAUAUACCAAGUUUUUUAUCAAACUAGUAUAAUUAAAUUGUGAUUUUAUGCAACUAUGAUUAGUUUUUUUUUAUAGUUUUUUUUUACUCGUAAUCUAAUAUCUUAUUUGGCCCCCGAGUUGACACAGGUAAUGAUUGUCCAGCCUUUCAAAUUUUAUAAAAAAAAGAUUAAUUAAUAUCAAUUUUAAAGACAAUAGUAUCCGGUAAAUAAAAAAAAAAAACUGUAUAUCCCCUUAGUCUUAAAUUUUGGUUUUUGUUGCUUCAUAUUUUGAUCUCCCAACUAGGUUAAGUUUUCAAUUUGACUACUUUACUAAUUACCAUUUUCACCUAAUUAAUUGGAAGGGGGAUAUUCUAAUCAUGGCCAGCUUAAUCGGAGGUAGCCCGAAUAUAGCGAGAGGGCGUAAUUAACCGGGUACCUGCGGGUAUCCGGGAAGCAUGAACUUCUUAAUCUUUGGUUCUUUUAAGUCUAUUUAGACUAAUAAAUAGGAACAUUUUCUCUUUACUUAUUUAAAAUUUCUUUUUGUUUUUCCCUUGUUCAUUUUUCUGAAAAAACAAUUAUAAAUAAUAUUCCAAAGGAGAGGAAAUUUCAAAAAUAACCUUUACACUAACUUACCAUCAAUUUUAAAUAAACAACAAAUAAAAUUCCAACUUUACUCCUAUUGUUAUUACCAUCUUAAAAUAUUUAAUUAGCUAUAAAAUCAUAUAUAAUUUUGUAAACACCCUUUUAAAUUCAUAAAUAACCUACAUUUAGAGGCUGUUUGGUUGCACGUAUUUGCAACUGCACUGUAGUUAUAAAUACAUGCAACCUCAAUUCCUGUAUUUGGUUUAAUGCAGUUGAGUCCAACUGCUGCAGUUACAACUGCACAAAAAUGUUCAAAUGCUAUAGUUGGAACUACAUUCAAAUUAGCUGCAGUUCCAACUGCAGCAGUUGGUGAGGAAUAGAAUUACCCACAAAUUAACAAUAAUAAAUAAAUAAAUAAAUAAAUAAUAUAUAUAUGGAUAAAUAAAAAUAUUUGUAAAUAAACACAUACUAAUAAAAACUUUUAGGCGACAUAAUAAAAAUUUUUAGGCGACACAAGUUUCGUGCAAAAAAUUAAAUUUUAUUAUUAUUCGUCCAAAAAAUUAAACUCAUCCAGCUAGUAGUACUGCUUUCCGGAUCAGUUAAACUCCUCUUCCGGUUCUUGGCCAAGUCCUCGUCCAGCAGAUCGUCAAUAUCGUAGGCCACAUCUUUGAGGCGUCGCAGCCACCCUCUGAGAGCUCUCUCCUGCACUUGCCUCCCCUCCGCAUCCUCGAUCACGUCGCGGAUGGCGGAGAGGGUGCCCGCCAGCUUCUUCAACUCGGCGCCGACGUCCAUCAGCUGACCAAACUCGUUUGUGAUUCGGUCCCUCAGUCUGUCCAGCAGCGAGUUCAGGACGUCCGAAGCCACUACGUCUGCCAUUUUCUCUUUGAUGAUUCUUUUCUUUUCGUAUCAAUCAAUCAAUUAAAAAUUAUCUGUUUCAAUGUAAUAUAUAAAACUGCAAUAGUCAAAUUGAAUGAAAUUAAGAUGCAUAAAUAUCUGACGAAUGAACGAACGUUGCCGGUUGAAGAACAGGACUAAACGAAAGGAGCAGAGGACACGAAGUUUGUGCUGUGAAAAAGACUUUUGACUUGUGGAUCCUAGCAUGUCCGUGGGUGAUUGGCCUGAGAAUAUAAAAAGUCAUACAUAAAGAAGAAAAAUGGAAGGCGAAACUUUAUCAAUCUCACCAGAAAAAAAAAAAGAGGCCAAUGUCAUUCUCAUGUUGACCUUAUCUGCUUGCGUACUAUUUCUGCAAUAUUAUGAUUAGGUCUUUCUCUAAGACUGUGCGUGGUUCCACAACCAAAGUUUAAUAACUCUUGUCUUUUCAAAAAUAAGAAAUAUUCUGAUAUAAGUUAGAACAACAAUAAUUGUAUUUGGAUGUGCUCUGAUGAGGAUAAAAAUGUAUGCCGACUGCUCAACUAUAGAACAUUUUAGCAUUGACCCCUCAACUCCAAACCUUUUUUUCUUUUUUUCUUUUUUUUGAUUAAACAGGGAUAUACCCUAUUUACAGGAAAACCUUUUUUUCUUGGUUUGACUCUCUUUCGACUUCUAAUAUUUUUAUAAUUUUUUUAUUUCGUUAAAUUUAAAAUCUUUGUUAAAUUUAAUAGUUCAAUUAAUAUUGGCAAUUAAUUAAUUUAAUUUUAGUUGCUAUCAAAUGGUAAAAGUUAUUAAAUUUAAUAAAUUAUUAGUAAAGUUAAUAAACUUUUAAAUUUUUUGAUUAAAGUUACUUGAUUUGAAAAACCAAGAAAAAUUAAGUAUGGCCUAUAGUUGAGUACAUGUGAUCUCCCUACAUUCUUUGUUUUUCAAGAGCAGUUUAAUUAUUCUUAGUUACUGAAGGAAAAAAUUUAGAAUGGACCAGGUAUAAUAUUGCUGAUGAUAUGGCAUCCCCAUCCAGUCAGAUAGCUCCCUUUCGAUUCACCCGUCCCAUCUUGAUUAUUAGAAAAAUAUUUUUAUUAUGCUUUUCUCUUAAAAAGAGAGAUGUGAUUUGCUAAUUAUUGAUAAUAUAGUGCAAGUGUAACACAGUAAACUUUUUUUAUAACGGUAGAACCAACAAUAAUAGUCGCCCUAUCCAUUCAGAUUUCAAACACUCCGGCUUCUGCCACUCCUUUCGCAACUUUCAGCCCAUUUCGUGUAGUAGAAGAGCAAAAGCUCUCGCGCGCGUCGUGUGACCACCCUUCAGGUUGAAAUUUAGGUUGAAAUUUGGGCGGGAAUGUGGGAACAAAAUUUAUAGGAGAAAUGCUACCUAUAAACCCAAAAAGGAAUUUAUAUCACAUAUCCCAUUUAUCUAAUAGAUUAAAUUAUUUUAUAAAAUAAUUUCAUCCAUUAGAUUGGUGGGUGUAUAUCCUCCAAAAUAAAGUGUAUAAGUAGAAUUUACUAAUUUCUAAACACACAUUUAUAUCUAUACCAUGGUAAGGUUACUACGAAUACUCCGAAUCUAAAGGUGGUUAACCAAUAUUAAACUGGUAUGAUUUCAUUUAUGGAUAUAAAAAAUAAAAUUUGACUAAUUUGGAUUGAGGUAUGAUUUUUAUCUGCGCCCUACCCGAUUCCAAACACAAACCAAUUUUAUAAUAUAUAAUAUAAAAAAAUUUAAAUUUAUGCUUUGAAAAUUUCAAAUGAUAUGUUUUGAAAUUUGAUAAGAGAAAUAGUCGCUUUCGGGUUUGGACUUUCAUGUUUGGUUUCGGAUUUUGAUUUUUUGUCGGGUUUCGGUUUUGGUUAUAGAUUUUUAAAAUUCGACUGUUUCAGAUUUGUCUCCAGAUUUCGAUUUUAGCUGUCCAGUUCGGAUUUGAAUUUUGGAAAACCAGUCCCAAGUCCGACCAAUUGGCAUCCCUAAUACCACGACCCCUGCCCCUUUGUUUGGUAGUUAGAUAAAAGAGAUUUAUUAAUUCAAAACUUAAAAUAUAUAUAUAAAUAAUUAAAAUAAAAAGAGAUCUUCUAUAUAAUUUUCCAAUACUAUAGUGCAUUAAAUAAUUUUAUUCAAUUUAUAUAAUUCUAUUGCCCUUUUUAUAAGCAAUUUAUUCUGCAAACUUGUUUUUGUAAAGUUUCACAGCUGAAUUUACAGCUAAAUUCAACAGUAAUCCUAAAAGUAGGAUCCAUUAAAGACAAUUAUAACAAAGCGCAGGGGACAUUAAUAAUAUAAUAUUUGAUGCGGAGGGUUAACGAGACACGAUGUAAAAUGCAAUGGGCCUUUUUGCUAUUUGACCAAUUAUUUUAGUGUGAAUUAAAUGACGGGUUUUAUUUUUCAAUUUCUAAGAAAAUUUUUAGUUAAAAGUUUGUUUGGGUGGGAGUGAGGUGGAAGUGGAAAGGGAGAAAUCGUUUUCGUCAUGAAAGAUCAUUUUCAUUGUUUGGUUCGUCGUAAAAUAUUUACGGUCGAAACUCGAGUUAAUCUGAAAUUGUGUAAUUGACUUCGGCCCAUCGCAAGCCGAAAUCAAUUACUAUGAAAUAAGAUGAAAAAAAUAUAAUAAAAUAAUAUACUAGGUAAAAAUCGUUACAUUUAAAUAUAUUUAAUUAUGGUACUAAUUACUCUAUUAUUCAGUUGGCAUAUUUAAAAUAUUAUAAAAUUUGAUUAGUUAAGUUUUAAUAUUUUCGUUAUUUAGUUUGUAAAAUUAAAAUAAAUAAAAAUUUAUUAAUUAAGUAUUAAUAUUUAUUUUACUUUAAUUUUAUUGUAGUAUUACUAUAAUUUAUGUAUAAAAAAAUAAUUUAAUUAUUUUAAAUUAAAUUUUAAUUAUAUAAAAAUAUAAUUAUAUUAUUUUUAUUUAUU
This 53629-nucleotide long non-coding RNA is filed under the name Ananas comosus (pineapple). Its description in RNAcentral is "long non-coding RNA (ACOM_LNC007707)". Lineage: Eukaryota; Viridiplantae; Streptophyta; Magnoliopsida; Poales; Bromeliaceae. The record is from RNAcentral.